UUUUUUUUUUUUUUUUUUGGGUAUCUCCUCUACUUUGAGCAAUUACUAUUUGUUCACCCUUUAUGAUCGUACUGUCAAAUCAUGGGUUUGAUUAGUGGUGACAUAAAAGUUAUUAAACUAUAAUAAAUUGGUUUUGAAGAGCUUUUCUAGUGUAUUAAUAGGCUGCAAUUGUUAGAAUUUCAAGACGUAAACUAUUAUAUUAAGUAUUAACAAUAUGCUUUGCAUUUGACAUCAUGCGUUUGCACAGAACGCCCUUCUAGAAGAUUUAUUGGAUCGGAGUUAAGUUUUAUGUUUCUGACGUAUUAGUUUGCUUAAUUAAAUAAAAUUUUCUCUUGUCGAGGUUUUUCAAAAAAAGAAAUUUAUUAACACAAUCAAGACCAUCUAAUGUGGUCUAUAUCAUAUAGUCAAUAUGUGCUAGUUGAGUUUAAAUCCAUCUUAAAACCAAUUGCUUUAUCUGCUCAAAAAAGAAAAAGGUUUUGAAACCAAGUGUUUUAUACACUUUUCCUUUGUGUGUUAGGCUGAAUUUGUACACCUAUUGAUAUUUGCAAUUAUCCAACGUCACUGUCGACGAUUAAAACCCAAAAAUAGUCAAAGCGUGUAUGGAUUUCGAGCAUUCCUCUUUUACUCAGUGGGCCCUUUAAAUGCCUACUGCCCCCACAAAACCUGACGUGUAAGCCACCGAUUCGCAGACAAUUAUCGAACAGAGAGCACACUAUACUGUGUAUACGGGCAACUGGAGAUUACGUCACCUGCGGAUUGUACCCCUUCUGAUCUGACCUGAUCUGAUCUAGUGGCCAGGCUAGCUUGGAUUGUCGACCGUCAGAUAUCUUUUGCUUGGCCACAAUGGUUUGUUACUGAUUACCGAUAACAAAGACUUAACUUCGCUCACCUUUCGUACGGAAAAAUCCUGUCAUCUUCUCACUCUCACUCGCAGUUACGCCUCAUUGUUACCACAACCGCUCCCCACCGUUUAUUUCCGAUCUGACGGCUCCCGACGCAGGAUAGUUGUGUGAGGAGAAAAUCCAUGUGGGUAAGACAAAACGCAGCAUAUACGUGAUACAUAUGUUCCUCGGUGGGAGCGAAAGUGGCGGUAGGCGUUGGAUUUGGAUCUCACGGCUGAGAGAUGAGUUUAGGAGGGGUGGUGAAGGUAUUGGUAUUGGUGCCUUUGGUACUGGUGACAGUCCAAUCAGAAGUAAAGACUGGGAGACUGUGAGGGGUAAGCUUAUAGCUGGGUGACCCACGUGGUCGUAGGGGGAGUAGCCAACAGGAGAAUAACAUCAGACGGCAGGCCCGGUUCAGCUUGUUUUUAGAAAUUCAAGAAAGUUACAUUAUUUCUUAGUGUCCACGUCACACAAUAGGAAUAUAUUCUUUUCCUAUAAGAAAAUGGGAAGCUAUUUGAUCCAAUACGGGUUUCUUUUUUUCUUUCUUUUAUGGCAUGUUUACUUACGUAGAAAGAGAAUGAAACUCCCAUUUUUAACAACUUCUUUGUUUACUUGUAUAUUGGAAAUAAAAAGUAAUACAGAGUCCACAAGUAAUUAUGACUUUGAUUCUUUAUAUAGAGACAUCGGCAUUACGGAUGUGGGAGGUGGUAUUGGACGUGGAUAAAUUGAAAUUAACAUUUUUCUACCUAAAUUGCCCUUGUCUAUUUUGUGAAAACACCAAAAAAAACAAAUUGAUGUCAUUUUUUUUUAAUAUAAAUAUAUUUAGCUUAAUUCUAUAUAUGUAGGAUAUACUAGGAAGUAAUAAUUAAACUUAUAAAACAUGGUUAUUUUUACAUAUAUUAAAUUAGAUUUAUUAUUACUAUAUAAAAAGUUGGUUUUUUUUGGGGUAAAAAAAGGAUAUAUUAUUAGAUUAGACAACUUCAACAAACAAAAUAAAUAUUAGAGAACUUUUGUCAUUUGUUUUAAGUUAUUUAUUUAUUUUAUUGAAUCAUUUGAAAAUUUGUUUAAGUAGUUGAAUAAUUUGAUUUGUUUUGCAAGGGCAUUAUAGAAUCAAACUGAUUUUGAUUCCGAUUCUUAACAAUAGCAAAAGACUUUAAUGAGAAUUCAUUUUGUUUGCAUUCUUAUUCCUGACUGUUAGUAAACAACUUAAUUGGAAUGCUUGACUCCGAUUCCUGGUUAAACUGAUUUCUGAAUACUCUGAUUCCUUAUUAGUAAGCAUUACUUGAUAAGUUUGUUUAUGGUCUAGUUUGUGGUGAUUAAUUGAGUUUAACAUUCCAAUUUUAGUUAAUUGCAUGUUAUUUAGUUUAUCGGUUUGUUUACAAAACAUGCAUUUUGACAAGGAUAUUAUUUGCCUCCUUUCAAAGAAGGUCGGGGUGGAUAUGAUCCGGAUUGGAUCGUUUUUGCCUCAAAAUUGCAGCCAAACCAAUUACAAUAUAACAGUUUAAUUUGGUUCAAUUUUGAAAAAAUUUCGAAGCAAACAGAACCAAACCAAACCAAUUUAACCAGGUUUGGUCUAGCAGUUUAGGCCUAAGCCCAAUUAUUUUUAUUUAUGCAUUUUUUCAACAUUGUUAGCCAAAUUACAACUAAAUAAACACACAACUUGCUAACUAUUUUUUUUUUUUUCAUUUUCUAGCGUAUCAAACCAUCCUAAAACUCAACAUGUCAUAAAACUUCAAAGUUUAAUAAUAGCUACAAUUCAAAUAAUAAUAACUUCAAAGUUCAUCUCUCCUCACUUUUUUCUUUAUGGUUAGUGAAUAAGUUCAUUGGAGCAUUUUGAAUAAGAAGCUCUUUGUGAUAAUUUCUUUUGAACAUGCUCAUAUUGAAAUUCCCCAUCACACCUUUUAGGCGUUCUCAAACAAAUCAUUCUUCCAAAACCCGCUCUCUAACACUGCUAAUGUUCUAUGAAUUUGGGUCUAUAUCGUCUUCGACGGAGGUUGUUGCAAAUUACCUAAUUUUUCUUUGUCAAGGUAGUUGUUUUUGUUUAUUUAUUCCCUCUUAAGCGCAGGUAGAUCGCUAGAAAUCACAUUUUCCCAAAAUUUGUUAUGGAUGUAGUGGUGGGUGUGGCCACGACGGUACUUCUUCAGGUGGUGGUGAUAGGGUUUGUUUAGGCUCAUGGAAUGUUUCAGGGUUUCAGUUAUGUUGGGUAUGUGAACUUUAUUUGGGCUUAUGAUUAAUUAUUGUGAUAUGAGUUAGUAGUUUUAGUGCGGCCUUUGUCUGGAAGUCUAUAUAGAAGAAAAUGUAUACCCUCUAUGUAUAUAUAUACAAGCAAUUUCAUAAUCAUUUACGAUCGAAUAAAUGGGAGGAUAUGAAAAUGACCUUUUUUCUUCUAUUGCUUGCUAGGACCUUUUUUCUUCUAUUGUUUGCAAGGACCUUUUUGGAGUUAUGUUCUUUUUCUCUCUAUAUCAUGUAUUUGCCCUUUAAAUGAUGAAAUUGCUACCACUAUCCAAAAAAUAAUGAAAGAAUAUGAAAAUGAGAUAUUUUAGUUCGCAUUCCAACGUAAAACUUCUAGGGAGACUUUGGAAAAUGUCAAAUGAUAGAGAAAUUUUUUAAAAGAAGACAAAAUGGACAAAAUUGCCCUUAUUUAUUUUUGGAUUUCCUAAGGAAUCCCUUACAUUUGCAUAUCUUUGGUUUGAAAGUUUAGAGGUUUUUCUGUUUUUUUUUUUUUGAAAAAUUUUUGGCUUUUUCCAAAAGUGAAAGUUUUUUUUUUAACUAAAACCUAAAUUUACUAAACUUGUUCUAACAGCCCGUCUCCAAACUAUUAAGUGCAAACAAAUGUUACUAUACAUGGGAAGAAAGAAAGUCCUAGUUCAAAACAAGGCAGCAUUCACCUUGAACUGUAACAUACACGAAGUCUUGUCAUAAAGUGUUUGCAUUAUGUUUACAAACUUAAUGUGUUGGGUUUGUGUGACUCAAUAUACAAAUCAUGGAUGCGGUAUGAGAGUUCCUUUUUUUUAAAGAAAGAUAAUUGCUAUGUAUUUAUAAGUAAUUAUCUUGGUUAUAUAUAUAUAUAUAGGCUUAUUAUCACAAAACGUCCCUAAGGCUUACGAAACUAUCAGAUUGCAUCCUUAAUAUUUUUUUGUGUCACUUAUGGUCCUCAAGGUUAGUAUGUGCAAUCACAAAUGGUCCCUACUGUUAGGUUCUGUCAAAAACUCUGUUAGUUUGCUGACAUGACAUACAUAUAUAUCACAAAACAUCCCUGAGGUUUACAAACUUAUCACAAAUGGUCCCUAUGAAUUUUUUUUUAUUUUUUAAUUUAAAAUUCAUAAAAAUUUGAUUUUCUUUUUAAAAUUAUUUAUAAAUGAAAAAAAUCAUUUAUAGAAGGAUUUUAAUCUUGAGGACCAUUUAUGAACCCUAAACCUUUAGUUUUUUUCAUUUUAAAAUUUUAUGAAUUUUAAAUUAUUUUUUAAAAACUUCAUUAGUGUGUUGAUGUGGCAUAUAUAUGGAGCCAACAUCUACAAUAAUAUAGUGUCACAUGUAUUUAAAAUUUAAUAUAUAUUUUAAAAUGAUUAUAAUUCAUAAAAUUUUAAAAAGAAAACAAAAAAAUUUAUGAAUUUUAAAUUUAAAAAAAUUAAAAAAUUUCAUAAGGACCAUUUGUGAUAGGUGUGUGAACCUCAAGGAUGUUUUGUGAUAUACAUAUAUAUGCCAUGUCAGCAAACUAACAGAGUUUUUGACGGAACCUAACGGCAGGGACCAUUUGUGAUCAUGCAUACUAACCUUGAGGACCACGAAUGACCAUAAAAAAAAAAAUUAAGGAUGCAAUCUGAUAGUUUCGUAAACCUUAGGGACGUUUUGUGAUAAUAAGCCUAUAUAUAUAUAUAUAUAUAUAUAUAUGGAUAUGCAUUAGUAAAAUAGUCAUUGUUAGUGUAGUUAUGUGUCAAAGAAAAACAAAUGUUAAGUAAGCUUGGCUAUGUAGUAGCUUUGUCAAUUCACCAAGAUGAACUGAAUAGGAUUGGAAGAAUUGGAAUCUUCCUAAUCUACAAAGGUAGACUACAUAAAUAUUACUUGAAUGGUAAGCGUACAAAACCGCCACAACACCAUCCAAUAGGAAAGGACUUACUGCCGACCUUUUCCUUAUAUAUAUAGGACAUUAUGUGCCUAGCAAAUGAACCCCAAAAAAAAAAAUGCAAGAGAGAAUUAGUGGUAGAAAGAAGUAAGAAAAAGAGUGAGAAACUGAGUUUGUGAAUGCGGUGAAAAAUUGGGAAACACCUUACAUAUCUAGCAAAAGCUUUGGUAUCAAGGUAGGGGUUUCUUAGGGGCCUUUACGGGGAUUGAUCUAAUUAAAUUUCGCGAGCUUUAUAUUAUGUGUGAUAUUAUAUGGAUGUUCUUGAUAUUACAGUUUGGUUGACGCUCCUUGUAUUGGGUGUUUACAUAUUCUUAACUAUUUGAACAAUGUUGGCAUAAUUGCAUAUACAUUAGUGAUGUUUUAAAUGGUUACAUUGUUGUGAGAUACAUGGGAUAUGUGAAAUGCAUAAUUAUAUCAUGAAAAUUGGUUGAAGUUGUUGGAUUGAGAAAAUAAUGAUGAAAAAUAGGGUAAUGAAAAUAGUCUUUUGUGUAGUUGAGUUUAACUCUUGGCAUGUACCAGGUCUCAGGGAUCCCACAUUGCACAUGAUUUUUAUUGGGUGAUUCGAGACUGGCGACAGGGAGUUAGAUAAGAUGACUAACAAAAGAAGAAUUAUGGGAUGAUUGAAAUGGGUGUUAGUUCAUAUAAAUGGGCAUGCGGGACCAAGUGGUAUAAGCAUGGUAUGGGACGUGCAGGUUUGCUUGUCAAGUUAUAUGAAUUAAUGGGAUUAUAUGAAGAACAGUCAUGCAUUAUUAAUAAUAAUGUGAUAUAGCUGUGUGAUUGUAUGUCACUGAAUUUAAUUAUAUCAAUUUUAUGUAAAAAUAUUUAUGUCCCUACUGAGCUGUGGUUUCGCUCACCUCCUAAUAGAUUUUACAGGUACCGAACCUAAAAUCUAAAGCUUGUGAUGAUUUUGGCAUAUCUAUAGAGUGUAUUGUGUACAUAGCUUGUGGAUGAAUAAUAAACUACUCUUUUAGUGAACUCCCGAGUAGUUCUAACUUGUAAAAUAAUGUAAAAUUUUUAAGUUUUCAGAUGUUGUCAUUUUCCACUGAAUAUUCUAUGUGAAAUAUUUAUUUUAUGUUUUUUUUUUCUUCACAUUUUAGUUAUAGUUUUUAUUAAAUUCUAUAAUUAAAGUGUGAAUCACGUCUUAAUCUAAGGUUACGUAAAUCCGUGGGUUGGGGCGUGACAUGUGGGAGCGACCAUAAUCUUACAUCGUGUCAUCACAAUGAUCUUCAAUUUAAAAGUAUGUAGUCCACUACUAAUUGCACCGAGGUCUUUCAGAUAAAAACCCUACAUCUGGAUAGGUCCAUUGACAUCAUAUCACAUACGCUUGUGGACUUAAGUAGUUAAGUUGAGCAAAAUAUCGAUGUUGGUUUGGACUUAGUAAUGGCCCCUCGGGUUUGUUGCAUGACAAACUCUUGGUGAAAUGAUUUUUAUUUUAUUUUAGGAGAUGUUCCAAAUUCGAAUCUCCUUCAACUCUCCCUGCCCUGAUUAAGAGAAAUUAGAAAAAGAAAAAGAAAAUCUUUCUCUAUUUUUUUUUUCAAAGAUUUCUCAUUAUUAGCAUAGAAGAUGAGUUGUUGAAGCUAGUAAGUCACUCUGAGUAUAGCAAAAUGUAAAGUUUACAAGAAUUUGAUGUUGAUUAUUCAUAAUCUCUUUCGGAUAUUUGUUUUGACAACAUAACAUUUUGUGUAUGAGAUUUAGUUUUCAUAAACCAUAAAAUUGGCACUUCAAAAGGAGCAAAAUAGUCCCAAACCAAUCGGAGAAAAAAAUAAAAUAAAAAAUAAUUCUCAGCUAGGUUUAUCUGUUACCUUUUUCAAGAAAAUGAGAGAAGCUUAAAAAACAAUAAAUAAAUAAUAAAUCUUGCGGCAAGACAACUUUGUGAUAAUCCACAUGAAAUUUUGGCCUAAGAAAAGAAUAAAAAUUGUUUUUUUCCUUUUAAAUUAUUAAAAUACAUAGCAAAAGGAACAAUAUCUGACGGACGAUAGCUAGUUGAUUAAUGACUUCCCUCUAUCACGUCAAAUACAGAAACCCUACCAUCUUGCAUUGCUGUACAUCGCAAAAGGAGACUGUUCUAUAAAUUGAACCAGAAAAAAAAAACAAAAACAAAACAAAACAAAGAAAAACAUACACUGAUCAUGAAAUUGUACAUAUGUAAACAAAUUACUAACCAUAAAGCUACGAAUAAAAAUAAAAGUGACUUAGAUAUUCUACUCUUUACAUCUCUUCACUACUAAAAAAAAAAAAAAACAACAAUCACCAUUAUUUGAUGAAAUUUAAUGACUAACCUAAAGUUAUGAAUAAAUAAUUAAAUACAAUAAAAUAAAAUAAUAUGACAUAUAAAAUGAAAAAAAUCAUUUUAAUCAACAGAGUAGUGGGACCACCCACCCCUUCUCCCCUCUCUCUACGACUCUGCCUUCUGCGACUCUCUGCGACUCUGUCUUCUGCGACUCUGUCUUCUGCGACUCUCUGCGACUCUGCCCUCAUUCUCUAUAUCUCUCUGCCUCUCUCUCUCUCUCUCUACGACCAAAUCCAUCAGCCCCCACCUAGAACAUUACAAAAACAACAAAAUAAAAUAAAAUAGACACACAAACCUAGAUCCAAAUAGAUCUAAUCUAUCUGAGGAGGGGAAGGGAAGGGAAGGAGAAGAAGGGAUAAGAGGAAGGGAAAAGAUGAGAGAAAAAUAAGGGGAGAUUUUACCCAAAAAAAAGAAGAAGGGGAGAUGAGGAGAGGAAAGGGAAGAUGGGAAGAGGAGAGGAGGGACAGUGGCCACCUUUCCCUCUUAGCUUUCUUGCGGUUGAUUGUCGACAAAAAGAAAGAAGACCAGAAUGCAACUAGGGUUUUUUUGUAUCAAUAUUUUUUUUCUUAUAUUAUAGCUUUGCAUAUCAGCAAAUUUAUAAGUUAAUUGGGUGGCUUUUCAAAUAUUUUGAAAUGUUUUUUUUGGUCCUUGAGCUAAUUAUUUCAACUUUUUUAUUGUUUAUUUAUUUAAGGUUAUUUAUGGUGGAUUGCUAGCUGUCUGGUGGUAUUCUAUUGUUCUUGGACAUUCACCUUUUUAUUUGUCCGAGUACUAGCAAAGUUGUUUGGAGCUGGUUUUUUGUUUUUGUUGUUCACUUUAUAUUAGCUUUAAGGUAUUUUUCAUGCUUACAAUGUUGAUGUGGGGGCAAGAAUUCUCCAACUAAUAAUAUAACAACAUGUGGAAAAAAACAAUAAAUAACUGGCAGAGGAAGUCAUCUCCACCAAACCUAUUGAGGCUACAGGCUUUUGCCUAAUAAUGUUGAAUCCCAAACCCACGUUAAGGUCAAUCCUUGUAUUAAUGGCAUCCAAACUAAUCAUGCCCAGGCCACCAUGACUGUUUAUUAUGUGAGUAAUUGACAUGUUGGACGAGUCAACAUGUCUCAGCAACUUAAUAGGUACACGCCGCAUAGUUCUCGAUGGAAGAAACUAGCUACCUCCCUUCAAAAAUUAAGAACUUUAGGCCCGUUGGGUAACGUUUUUAAAGAAUAUUUUAUUAGAAUAUUUUUAGAGAAUGAAAACAAAAAAAUUAAUUUGCAUUUUCUGAAAAUGAAAAUAUUUAUGGUAGAUUAAUUAAAAAACAUAUUUAGAAAACAAAAACAAUGAAAACGUAUACGGUAAUACAAUUUGAAAUAAUAAUAUGUGAGUUAUUUUUAUGAAAACAUUUCCCAUGAGAAUGAAAAACAACUUUUUUCUGUUUUCUACAAGUAUACAUGAACUUGUUUUCAUUUUAUGAAAACAUUCUCAAUGUUUUCUGUUUUUAAGCCACCGAAUGUAUUUUUGCCUCAUUUUUGUUCUCUAAAAAUGAAAAUAACCCCUUAAAACGUUACCGAACCAGCCUUACUCUUUUUAUUUUGGCUCCAAAUCUAACUGAGUCAAUGAAGGCUGUUUGUGUCACAUCACUCCCUUGGUACUUACGGACUCAAUUGUCUCAUUUCUUGAUUUUCAAUUUACGCAAAGUCUUUUCAAGAUAUCGUGGAAUUUAUGUCCCACAGUUUCAAUUUUAACAUAUUCAUUUGGUGUUCCAAGAUUUAACUCGUUGAUUUCAUUUCCUGAUUGUUGUUAUUAUGAUCUUUGUAUGAAUGGGACCUGGAUCAAUGUAUGUAUAGGAGGAACAUGGGGAAAGGGUAAUGGGUAACCAAUUAUCCAGGCAAACAUUACCUAUAUGCCAUUCUGAUCCCCCCAUAAAAAAUUUUCUACCAUCCAGUAAACCCGCGAAGGAUGAGAGCCACAUGUAGCAAGAAAAUCACCAUUAGCAAAGUAACGGGCUUUGAGAACCCUAACCCAGAAUGCAUUGAGGUUACUCCAAUUGCAUCAUAUCUUUGUUUGAAAACCCCUUAAUUUGUAGUAAGCUCUUUUCUUACAUGGAAAAUUGAUGACACAUCUUCACUUAACAGUCUUCACGGCCAGAUUAAUGACCAAUCGCAAAGGACCCACUAGUGUAGUGGUUUGGAGUAUUUACUCCCUCAGGCAAGGUUCUGGGUUCGAGUCCUGGCAUCUGUGUUGUAUGUGUGAGUUUAAUAUGCUAUCGCCCCUUUCAAUAGGAAAGGACCUCAAAAAAAAAAAAAAAAAAGACCAAUCGACAUUGAUGAAAAUUUGAAAGUUAAAAAAAAAAUUGCAAUAAAAUGACAAAUUUUUUUUUCUUUUCUUUUCAUGUUGCUAUUAAGAAAACAUAGGUAACGAAAUGCCUCAUCACUCUACUCAAAGUUAUAUACUUUUAAAAAAGGUCAAAAGUCACUUUUGGUAGUUUGGCACUUCCACCACUUUUGAUCAUGUAGUUCAAUUCUAUCAAUUUUGUCAUUGUAGUUUCGUAUUUGUAGCAAUUCAAGGACAUGUUAGUAUUUUUAUCAAUUUCUUUCAUGAUGCAGUGGGCAAUUUCAUCAAUCCAAAACCCUUGAGCAUAAAAGUUUGUCUGAAAUUCUCCCUAUUUCAUAUUAGGACUCGAAAUUCAACCAUUAAUCUCAAUGUUUGAAGAACCCUAAACCCAAAUAACCAAUUUCAAGCCCUAAUAUGAAAUUAGGGGAGUCUCAAAUGAGCUUUUAUGCUCAAGGAUUUUCGGUUGACGAAAUUGCCCCUUGCACCGUUAAAGAAAUUGACAGGAAUACUAACUUGUCCUUGAAUUGCUACAAAUACGAAACUACAGGGUCAAAAUUGAUAGAAUUGAAACUGCAUCGUUAAAAGUGGUUGAAGUACCAAACUAUAGGGACUAAAAAUGAAUUUUAGCCUUUAAAAAAUGAACAAACAUUAAUCCUUACCCCCAUUAACUAUACAAAAAUUACAGUAUUUUAAUGUGUUAUUUAUCUAUAUAUAUAAAGCUAAAGGCAGAGAAUGGUAAAAUAUUCAAAAUAUCAGAAAAUGCCAUUGGUUAAUGCAAACAUUAAGAAUUGAAAUUAUUAAUUAAAUGAGGAUAAUAUGGUAAAUUCAGACUUUUCAUAUUAAAAAAAUUAAAAUUAAAAGAAAAAUCAGAUAAUGGAUCAUAUUUUUAUGGAACACAACUACCCAUUAUCUUUUUUAAUUCUAAAAUAAAAUUACAAAAAAAAAAAAAAAAAGCCUCUUGCAGGUGCAUAAGUGCGUGCAGAGAGGCUAGUAUAUGUAAAGCAAAAGGCAAAGAAUGGUAAAACAUUCAAAAUACCAAAAAUUGCCCUUAGUUAUUGAAUUUAUUGAGCAUUGGAACUUUUCAUUAAAUAAGGUUAAUAUAAUAAGUUAACAUUUUUUAUAUUAAAAAAUUUAAAAUAAAAACCAAAAUAAGAAUAUGAGUCCUAUUUUUAUAGAACACAACUUCAAUUUUAUUUUUUAUUGGAUUCUCUUUCUUAAUUAUUAAAUAAAUAAAAAAUAAAAAACCAUUUCACGGCUAGUAACUAUGAAAAGAAAAAUAAUUUGAAAAUAUGCAUCUUUCUUUACAGAAUUGGCCAAAACAUCAAUUAAAUUAUAAUUAGUUUGUUAUAUAUCAUGCACAAAUAAAGUGACAAGGAUUUAUUAAUGUUGUAGCUUUCAACAGUAAAAUAUUUCAAAAUCUAUUUAUAGACACAUGCCUACCUUGUUAUCACAUAUAUACUACUACUACGACACAAUGUCCUAAAUAGAAGAAAAAUAACCAUGAUUGUCAUAUAAGUGGUAAUCCCAUGACGUUUCAAAAUAAGGCUUAUGAGCUGCUCACCAAAUAAAGUUAUAGAGUUGCUGAUGGACCAUUGUUUGGCAGGGGGUAUAUACAAGUAAAUCACAUUUCGAUAAUUUGACCAUCUAGUCUUGUGUUAAAUUGAUGACGUGACAAGUGAGAGAUACACUUUUGUGCUAAUGUGUCAAUAAAAAUAAUAAAACAUUAAUAUUCCUUUUUUAAAAACUAAUAUUUUUAAAAUAUAUUUCUUGUCUUAAGCAUUGUGGUGGUUUUUUAUUUUAUUUUUAUCGGUGAGCUUCCUUGUACUAGUGUAUAUUAGAAAAAAUUGCGAGGGAGAUUACCGAAUUGGUCCGAAAUACCUAAGUCACACAGAAAUAUAUAAGUAGGUGGUAGCCCUCAUUAAAAGUUUUAGGUACGAUGGGACCUCGAUCAGGAUCCCCAAGCCAUGGAACUUUAUACCUAAGCAGCAAGGAGAAGAUGAAAAAUUCAAAAAUGCAGGAUGAAUGACCAUUCAUGUGCUUGAUAAUUUGAAAGCAUCAAUCUAGAGAGAGAGAGAGAGAGAGAGGGGGCCCCUGAAUUAGAAAAUCAAUGUUCCUAUUCUUAUAUGGUUUCUCGACAGGCGGAGAAGAGAAGACUAAUUGAUACGAAAGGCAAUGCAAAAAGCCAAGAGAGGAUCACAUCAUAAGUAUCUUUUAUGGAAAAAGGGUUUCUGUGUGAGGACAAGGGACCAUAGGGCAUGUGAAAUUGUAGCAACAUAUAAUCAUGGAAACAAACAAAUGAAAAUAAUUAAAAGGAAACAAAACUCUGUUAGGAAAGCUCUGGCUUUGGGUAUGCAUGAUGAAAAGGGAUGUGCUAACUAAGGGCAAUUGGAUGUACACCUGAAUUGGAAAAAAAAGAAAAAGGAUGUACACCUGAAAAGUAUGAACAGCUUUGGUAAAUUGAGUAAAUGCAUGAUGAAAAUGUAUGUGCAUAUUGGCCUUUUCUGCCAACUUUAAUUCUUAAAUUUACCGUGUUGACAGAGUAAUCGAGUGCUUGGUUGUGGGCCAUUUCCUAAAAGAGAUGGGUGUGCUGGAAUGCUGGUGAAACUAGUAGCUUAUCGGUACCUGAUGGGAAAAAAGGAAAGAACAGAAAGCAUCUGGCCCAGUGCCAGUCCGUUGAAUUGUAUUUGUUAAUUAAGGUCCAAUAUCCUAAAGAGAAAGGGAUUCCUAAAAAGAUAAGGAAAUUUGUUUGGGCUUUCCUUUUCUUAAUUCAGCUCCCUCCAUAUGACUUCAAGCUCUCAUAACUAGUUUCACUCAUAGCUCCCAUCGGUGUGGUGUGAAGUUGCUUGUUCCAAGCUUUCUUCUCCUCCUCCACGCCAAGAUGAAGCUACUGACGAAGCUCUUCGGCAGCGGUUUCUCCUCUGAAUGCAAAGAGACGGUGGAGACUGUGGCGGUGAAAGCGCGAUUCUUGCAAAAGAAGAAACAAUUCGCGCCGGGGAAGACCCCAUUGUCGGCCCUGCUCAUGUCCUGAUCAAACGGGUGAUAAGAGAGCAGAACGUUUCGGUUGCGUACGAAUUCAUUGAGGCCUUCUGCGAUUUGGUUGUGAACAGAAUCUCGACCAUCAAAGAGGUGAGGGAAUGUCCAGAGAAUUUAAAAGAAGGGAUUAUAAGAAAUAAGUGCUCUCAUGAGAUUCCGGAGUUGGUGACACUACGGAAUAUUUUUAGGAAGAAAUAAGGAAAGAAUUUUAUCUCUGCAGCUACGAACAUACGACUCAAUUGUGGUGUGGAUCUCAUGAUGAUUAAGAAGCUUACAGAUACAAAUCCUCAAGGUGACGAAAAACUGAAAAUUGUGCAAGAAAUAGCCGAUCAAUACAGUAUUAAUGGAUGGGUAGAUAUUGCAGGAAACAACUGCAAUGCUUUGGUCAAAGUAUAGAAGACCACAAAUGUAUAGAUUGAUCACUAUUACUUUUUUUUUUUUCCCUUUCUUUUAACUCUAUAAAUUUCCUUGUCACGCUCUUUCUUUUUUCUAAUUGAGUACAAAAAUUAUCUUUCCUUUUUAUUUUUGGUUAUUUGAAGAUAGUUUCUUGUUUUAGAGGAGCACUAACUUUUCUUUCAUUGAUGAGGAAUUUGAGAGUAAUUCCAGGCAUCCGGAACAUAAAAAAAUUACUCUAUAUAUAAGAAGCUACAUUGAGUGGGUUUGUUUUUCGCAUAAUAAGCCACCCAAUUUUAAAGGUAGGGGUUUUGGCACUCCUAUUUUAGCAUCUGAAACUUCAAAUUAAGUAUUUUAUUAUUUCUCUACACUCAUGAGAAGAGAGCCAGAAGCAAAACUGAGAGUGAAAUUUACUACCCAACUAAAAUGAUGACAACUAAAAAUUUGCAAAUACAAAAUGGGAAAUUAGAAAAACAAGCAACCAAUUCAAAUAAGUAAUAAAAAAUAAAAACGAAAACACACACCCACAUCAUCAGUUCCUUCAUCGUACUAAAAAAAAACUGUAGGAGCAAGCAGGAACGCACGUGCCAAGAGAUUUGUAAAUCACUUACCUUUUUUCUUGAGAUUUUAACUACAAAGUUUAUAUCUUGUAGAGUGAAAACUUUAGUUAUGGCCUAUGGCAUCCGCAAAAUCAUUGAACUUUCAUCAUAAAAGAGAUACUUUCCAUGCGUUAACUGAUGGGUAUAUUUUAUAUUAUAUAUUUAACCAUAUUCUUAGUAUAUUUUAGUUAAUAUUUUGGAAGAAUUUGGAUACUUUGAAUUAUAUUUCCAAUAUAGGACUUUAGAAUUUCUCUGGAGCAAAACAUAAUCAAAUUGACGAAUUUUAGAGUAAUUCCAAUUGAAGGAUGUACGUGAGUCACUUAGCUUGAUUGUAUCAAAAUUUCAGAUUUUUCUACUGAGCGGUUAUUUUGUGGCAAUGAAAUAAAGGUGUAGUGUGCAGUACUGGAAUAGUGACGUUUUGGGCAUUUAUUGCGUUUUUGGAGCCCAAGAUUACCUUGGAUGGGUUCGUGACCUUCUGGAGAAGUGUUCAGAAUAUUUUUAUCUUUCAAACAAACUAUCUUGGGCCAGAUUUGGAGGAGAUUUGCGGCCAAAACAUAGCUGGGCAGAUUGUGGCAGAUUCUCCUAAUCCAAUUUGGACUUGUAUUAUUUUAUUUUAAUUAGUUUCCUUGUGUGGAUAGAAAAGCUGUACAUUGGCAGCUAGGUUUUAAGGGGUAUUUAAGCUCUUUCUCACAGCAAUUUUGGGGACUUUUUUUUGUAUGCAAUUUUGGGGAAGACAGAGACUUUGGCUAGGGUUUUUGAAGAGCUUCUACUUCAAGGUGUUUUUAUUCCUAUUCAUUCGAAUGACAUUUUCUUUGAUUUUAAUUAUGAGUAUGCGUAACUAAUUCCUUUUGCUAGGGCAAGGCCAUAAGUCUUAGCAUGAAUAUGUAAUUUUAUUAAUUUGCUUAUGAAUGGAUGCAUGUUUGCUUUCAAUUAUUAAUCACCGCGUUUAAAACUAUCUAUUUAUUUUAAUGACUGAUUACCAUUAGGAUAUGUAGACAAGUAAUUUGAUGCAAUUUCUGCUGGAACAUCACCCUGAAAUUGAGGAUGGCUUCUUAUGAUUAGUAGUUGUAAGUUCACUUAAGGCGAACAUCACGCUCUUAAGGGUUGCAUUGGUUUUUCAAAGGGUUUUCACAAAGCUUAAUGAGUCUUGCAUUUUUAUAUUUGAUCUGAACAUCACAAACGGAUUGCAUGUUAGAUAUACGUUUUCGCUUGAAAAUCACAAGGAAAAUAUGCAUUAGGAAAACCUAACCUUCAAAGCAUAUAUGUGGAAAUUCAUAAGUAAUUGAUAGAAUUGCAUAGGAUUGUGACGGUAAUGGCUAAGCUCUAGUUUUCUCUAAAUUGUUAGUCCUUAAAAAGAAAACGUUUUUCUUCUUUGCUGUUAUUAUUUCCCAACUUUCAGAUUUCUUUUACUGUUAAUUUAAUCUUUUCAAAUUCAUAAACUUCAAAUCUUUGAUAAAAUCUAUUUUAGUUAUUAAUUAAGAGUUUGUUUAAUUACAAAUUAGUCAAACAAUCUUUGGGGACAACGACCUUACAUGAGCAUCUACGGCAGUAAGAUGUCAAAAUACUUUCUACGGUAGUGCAAUUUUGCUUAGUAGCCUUUAAGAACAUAAUGGAAUCAUCUGCAAAGAAUAGAUGGGAUAAGGUAGGACCGUCUCCACUGAAUUUGAUUCCUUGCACAAUACCCCUCUCCACAUCUUUGUUAAUCAUAGAUGAUAGAACAUCACUGACUAGAAUGAAAAUAUACGGAGAAAUAGGUAUCCUUGUUUAAGACCCCUGGAAGGCUUGAAAGAACUCCCAGAUUUACCAUUUAAGAGCAUUAUGAACCGGAUUGAGAUGAUCCACCCCAUAACCUGGCGCACCCAAGUUCGAUCAAACCCCAAUUUUAGCGACACUUCUUUCACAAAAUCCCACUCAAUUCUGUCAUAGGCCUUAUUCAUAUCCAACUUGAGCCCCAUCUCAUAAACCAAUUUUAGCGACUUAGAUACGGGAAUUAUCAUAUAAAGAAUCAAAAGAAUCUGUUGAAUGCAUUGAAAUUUAACUUGGAUUGCUUGUGGUUGAUUCCGAAACCCUAGACCUUCAUCAUUUUAUUUUUUCAAUCUUUAAAAGUCAACGUUAUAAUUCUUAAUUGCCAUGAUUAAUUUCUUGUUUCAUAAACUUUCACAACAACAAUCUCUACAAAUUUACUUGCGUAUCAGUUAGAUUGAAUUUAGGUAUUCGAAUAUUAGAUUAAUUUGGAAUCCUCGUGGGAAUGAUACGUGGACUUGUCAAAUGCUAUACUACAUCAUUCUUGUGCACUUGCAAGGACAGACCACUCUGGCCCUUUCUUGUUUGACGAGCUGGCUCAGAUUCCAUAGACCCAAUUUGUUUAGGAAAUUAAAAUCUCACACUGGAGUGAGGGUGCUCCUAUUUUAGAGAGAGAAGUUUUUACCAUCAAGUAUCCCUAAUUUUCCAAAUAACUGCAUCCUCAAUAAGUAAUCCAAAUCAAUUAUGUAAUCAGACCCCCACAUCUAGAAAGAAAUAGAAAAGAAAGAAGAAUUGAGAAAUUCUUUUGAUUCCUUAUAGAUUGGAGAAAAGGGAUAGAAUAGAAUGAGAAAUGGGAAAUUCUUUGUUCCCUGAGAUAAGAAGAUUGAGAAGAGAAUUGGGACAUAACUAUUUAAGUAUUGUUUGAAUGAAGAUGUUCUUGUUCUCCAAAGAAAUGGGAUUUAAGAGUCAAGAAUAGGGGCACUGAGAUUUUGGAUGCACAAGAAAAUUGAUAGAGCAAAUAACAAAUCAACCAUCAAUAUUUGACCCAUGGUGAUGUAUUCAAGAACAGGAAGGUGAUUUUAUAGCAAGGAAUUCAAUAUUUGAUGGAGUGGCUACAAUAACUAUCAAUCAAAGGUGAAUAUCAAGCUUGAAUAUUUGAACAUAGGAAGAGAUAGAGAAUGAACAACAUACAUACCAAAAGAACAUCCAUAAGACCCAAAUAGCAGAAACGCAACUAACAAUCUGAAAUCCACCACAUAUCAUAGUUGAGGAAAUAUAAAGUCCAUAGGCAGACAUGUAAUUGAAGUCAUCGAGUUGAAGCAAUAUGAAUAGCCACAAUUUGAGUAGUAAUCGUACAGAAAAUAACAACAAAUCCCCAUCGAAAAACCCUAAUGUGAGCAACAAUCCACCAAGAACAUCAUAUGCCAUAAGAACAACAACAUAUCCCAACAUAUAUGGAUUUGGAAAUCCCCAAUUCGAAGGCUUGAAAUCAGCAAUCUCAUAGAAAAAAACCCAAAAGUGAGUAGCAAUCGAUCAAGAACAUUGAAAAUUCCCAAAAAUCGGCAAUAAAACCCAGUUGAGAAACACUUGAAUCAAUUCAAAGAUGAGGCUGAAAAUCCCCAAUAGUAAGCUGAAUAGAAACCUUAAAGGCAGUUUAACGAAAUUGAGAAUCUAAGAAUGAAGUGGAAGAAUCAGAUAUCAACGUUGAUUUCCAUGGAGUUCCAGAAAAGAAUGUCAAGGCAUAGAAAGCAGAAGUAGAAGAACUUAGGAUCGAUCCAUGGCUUUUGCCUAACACAUGGACAACACAUAUUGGGUGGCGUGGAGCACGUGUGGCCGUUGGGCUUUCACACUUGGGCUAACCCGCUUUGAUACCAUGUUAACGAAAGAGAAAUACAGAGAGAAUUAAGAAGAAGAUGAACUUUUUUGUAUUAUUUCUCAGAUUAUCAUACUAUACUUAGGGAUAGACCCAUGAUUUCAAAAUGGGGUGGGCUAAAUUUGCCUUAUGUACAAACCUAUUAAAAAGAUAGAUUACUCGAGGGUACGAGGGAAUUUUAUUGAUAACAAAAACAACACAGAGAAACAUAAUGAGCCCAUCAAAAUGCAUCUAGUACAACCUUAAAUAAAAACAACAUUAAACUACAAGAAAAAAGCCGUUAGUUUUUUUUUAAUACAAGUGAUAGUCUAAAGGGAGAGGAGGUUUCUCACAUAUAUACUAAUAAAUAAUAUAUUCAUAAUGAUGUUGAGAGAUUAAUAAAAAAAUAAAAAUUCAAGCAAUUAAUAAAUAAUUUUGUGAGUAAAAGAUAAAGCAAAAUUAAAGAGUGGUAAAUGAUUUUGGUGGUGUGAAAAUUUUGAAGAAAUAGGUGGGUUUUAUAGGGAAAAUUGAAUAGUACAAAAACUUUAGAAAAAGAAAGAAAAUUGAUGUUGGUAUUAAUUUUCAAAAAAAUUCUAUUGGUAUUAAUUGCACUAACAAUAUCAAAUCAUGCUUGAGUAGCUUCAAUGAGUGUGAGUAUUACUUUUUAAAAACCAACCGUUGGAUGAGCAAAGGUUGGUUGAGUGCAUGGGCGCUGAUGAGUGAGUAGAUAUAGUAGUUGCGCUGAGGUGAGUGAAGUUACUCCUGAGUGGGGGUGUGUGGGUUGCACUUGGGUGGGCUGGGUAUUAACGUUGGGUUAUAAAAGAUCAAUCACCUGUGCUAUAGCCCAGAUUAGCAUGUGCAUAGGUCCGUCCCUGACUGCAUUAGCUCAAAGUGUCUAUAUGUAUUUCUUAUUUCUUUUUUUUCCUUGUGGCAUAAGUGUUCUUAUUUCCAUAAAAUAUUAUGACUGCUAGGCCUACUUGCCGAAGUUGUUGCCAUUUGUUUUUGAUGAAAAAGUUGUUGCCAUUUCAUUCCAUCAGUUAAAUGAAAACCAGUGACAGAAGCAGAAGAGAAGGACAGGACCCUUUUUAUCUCUUUAUUUAUUUUGAUUUUGAUAUAUUGUUCCAUAUUUAGUUAUUGUCUCCACCCCAAGCGAACCAGUCAUUUUGCAAUUUUCUUUUCUCCUUAAACUUGUAGCUCCUUUGAUUGAUAUACAGGGAUUUUCGUCCCGAUGCAAUUAAAAAAUAUCAUCAAAAGUGUUAUCUUUUAACCAAAUGCUUCAAAAUACAAAAGAAUUCUACACAAGCAUCCUUUGAGCCUAAAUUUUGGCCUAAAGUUAACCAAAAUACAAACGAAUUCUAUACAGGGAUUUUCGUCGCGAUGCAGUAGAAUUUUUCCCAAACGACAAAUACAGAAUGGGCUUCCUUAAUAAUGUAUUGCAAUUUGCAUGCAUGACAUCACAAAAAUAGAACGUUGAUAAUGUAUUGCAAUUUGCAUGCGUGCAUCACAAAAAUAGAAUUUUGAUAUGGGGCUAACAACUCGUUUGGGCCCAUUUUAUAAUAUUCUAUCACCAUUCAUAUUUUAGAUCAACACUCAAAGAUAAUUCUAACAAGCAAAGGACCUAUUACUAUAGUGGUUUGAAGUAUUUAUUAUCUUAUAUAAAAUUUUUGGUUUGAGUCUUAGUAUCCGUGUAGUGUGUGAAUUUAGUAUAUUAUCGCUUCUUUCAAUAGAAAAGGUUUUUUUUCUAAAAAAAGGAACAAAAAAAAGGGAAAAUUCUAACAAAUAAUUAGCCAAAUUAAACUGCAUUUAGUCAUCUAACUGUGAUCAAAUGAACAUAUGAACCGGAUAUUCUAUAAAAAAUAUAAAUAUUCAUGACAACAGUUAAAUGAUUUCCAAAUUGACCUAUUUAUUUAGUUUUUUUUUUUUUUUUGCAAAGAUGUUCCUUUAAUAAUGAAGUAAAAAUGAGUAGUUUUGAAAAAUACAUAAAUCCAACGCUUAGGGCGUCAUAUAUAUGUUUAUCUCUGUUAUCUGUACAACGCACAAUGACGUUUAGUGAAAACUAAGUUGUGGACUUACAUAUUAAUGAUUGAAUAAAUCUAACCAGUUAUAUGAGUGGUAGCAUAAAAAGAUAUAUAUUGCCAACGGGAUCUAGCUUAGUGAAAAAUGACAUUGAUUUGUAGACUAGUGGUCUCAGGUACGACACCCCAGUCUCCUUGUAGUUUUGACUAUCGCUUGAACUAAAAAAAAAGAAAAGAUAUAUAUAUAUAUUUAAUGGAUUGUAACUUGCAAAUAAUAUAACGCUACCAGGUAGGGGUGGGCACGGUUCGGUUUGGACCGGUUUUUGCCUCAAAUUAGAACCGAUCCAAUACUAUUCAUCCGGUUUGGUUCGGUUCGGUUUUAAUAAAAAAAAUUUCAAAAACUGUCCGGUUCGGUUUGAACCGGUUUCGGUCCGGUUCCGGUUCGGUUCGGUUUUGAACCGGAUUAUAAAAAUUAUUUUUUAAAAUUACUUUUUAAUACAAUUCUCAACUGAAAUAUUAUUUUUUUACUUGAAAAUUAACAAAUUAUUCAAUUUCAUAUAAAAAAUAAAUAUUAAAGUGAGAAAAUAGAGAUAUUUUGACAUUGAACUUGGAUAAAUAUUAUGUUUUUUUUAGUGAAAUUAAAAAUAUAGCAUUAAAUAUAAAUAUAUAUAUUGAAAUUAUAUAUUUUUUUAGUUUCACCGGUUCGGUUCGGUUUUUGAAGACAUGGAACCGGAUCCGGAACCGGUCCAAACCGGUCCGGUUCGGUUUUUGACCGGUUUUUGACUUUUUGGUCAACUCGGUUUUUUUCCGGUUUGGUUCGGUGCGGUUUGGUUUGGAUUUCCGGUUCGCCGGUUUGAGUGCCCACCCCUACUACCAGGCCCUCAAUUGAUAAAUAAUCGUUCUCAGGUUCCUAGAGGAUCCUCUUUGUAAUUUCUUUUAAUGUUAAAAAAACAGGGUGAUAUUAUUUGUACUACAGUUAUUGACUACAAAUUGCUGACCACAUGUCUAAUACAAAGGGGACCCACAUACAUUGGAAUGUGGUAUAAACAACAUUAUUAAAAAAAAAAAGAAAGAGAUAAAUAAAUCAUCAUCUUCACCUAAAUAUAUACAAUAAUUGCAAGCAAGACAAUUAUUACAUGCAAGACAUAAAAGUGAAGCCUCAAGAGUCAAGACCUUAAAAAAUAGAACAUCAAAAGAAUAAUCUAGUGGAUAUGCCAAAAAUUUUACUCAAAAAAGAAACUUCCAAGUCUCGUUUUCUUGCGUGUGGAUGGUUAUGGGGCUGUAAUGCAGUAAUGGAAUUAAUAUUUACUCUUUGUGGUUGUCUUAGCGUGGUUGUACUUGAUUCUUUGGCAAAAGAAUAGAAUCUUAUUCUUUUUCUGCUUUAUUAGGUAAAUUUCUUCAAGUCUCGUUGUCUCUUUUCACUACCAUGGCAUAGCUGGUAGCAUUCCCACAUUUUUUUAGAAUUUACAAUUGUAAUCAUAUGGUAGGUUAACACAUUCUUUAUCUAUAUCGGUGGUUACCAUUCCAGCUAAGACGAAACAUGAGAAUGAGAUGAUAUCAAAAAAUUUCAGAAUUCUUGAUCGUUUGGGAUUAGAAAGAAUAUAUAUAGGAGCCAAUUAAGCAGUGUUAGAUAGAUCAAUUAAGACGUAAGACUGCCUCUCUCAUGUUGUAUGAGAAACAAAACUCUAUAAUAUUUUACAACUUCUUUGUUAUAAAAUUUUAAGGUGAGGACUUUGUCGUUAUCGUUUUAAUUAAGCAUUUGUUCUUUUAGAGAAAGUGAAGUAUUGCAAUGCAUACUCUACUACUAUCAUGAUAGAGUAAGUAAUUCACAUGUGAGACCAGACGAAUGUACGUUACUCAAUAUAAAUUGUUCACGUGUUUCAUUCAAGUCAUACAUAUGAAUGGACAUGUUGAACAUUAUUAUUCCACAUUAAGAAAGUGAAGCUUUAAAAUGUCACGAUGCUUGUAAUAUCGAACACAAUUGAUUUUGAGUUGAAAAAGUCUUUCCUAGCUACAUUUGUAAUAUAUUAUGUCAUCAUGUAAUCCAAUGUGUCAUAAAUCGGCUAUCAAUUUCCAUGACUAUCACAUAUAUGUGAUCAAGCAAACAUACAAUUGAAUGUAUGGUCCAUUUUAUAUGAAUCUCAAUCAAUAAAUUAUGUAGGUAUUCCUAUUAACUAUAAUUAUAUACGUCAUCUUCGUAGCAUCCACAUAGAUGAAGUGCAAGACUUUGUGACGAGUACUAUAGUGACAUUCCAAACAUUCCUCCUAGACGUACGCCUAAAGGAACAUAUUGGACGUCCACUUAAGUUCAGUAUAUAAGCAAAUGCAAUCUCCUUCCUCAGAUCACCCCUCACCUUUACUUAAUAUUCCGAAUAGUUUCUCAAAUGGCAAGUACUUUAGUCUUAAUGUUGGUUUCUCUUUCCCUCAUCUUAAUCAAUAUCAUUAGCCUUCCUCUUCCAACAAUGGCCAUCUCUUCAUGCAAAGGUCCAUGCAAAACCCCCAACGACUGUGCUGGUCAGCUCACCUGCAUCAACCGCAAGUGCAAUGACGACCCCGCUGUUGGGACACACAUAUGCAGUGGUGGUGGGGGCGGAGGUGGAGGAGGAGGAGGCGGAGGAGGAGGCAAUUGUAAGUCCUCAGGAACUCUCAAUUGCGGGGGAAAAUCAUUCCCCCAAUUUACAUGCUCGCCGCCAGUGACGUCAUCCACGAGCGCUAAACUCACGCUCAAUGACUUCAGCGAAGGCGGCGAAGGUGGGGACCCAUCAGAGUGCGACGGGAGAUUCCACUCUAACAGUGAGCGCGUGGUGGCACUUUCCACUGGGUGGUAUGACGAGGGGUCAAGGUGUGGAAGGUUAAUAAGAAUUACGGCGAGCAAUGGGAGGAGUGUGACGGCGAAAGUGGUGGACGAGUGUGAUUCGGUGAACGGAUGUGACAGAGAGCAUGCAGGUCUGCCGCCGUGUAGGAACAACAUUGUUGAUGGGUCUGCAGCAGUGUGGAAUGUUUUGGGAUUGAACAAAGAUUUAGGGAUUGUGGACGUCACUUGGUCCUUGGCCUAGUUAAGUCACGACCCUACCGUAGUAGUACUUAAUUAAUCUAAAUAAAUGAAAUAAUUAAGGACUAUGUUUCAUAUGUAUGGCAUACCAUGAUGCCAAGAAGUACGUACGCAUAGUAUUGUUUGGAUUUGUAAUUUAUGUAGUUUAUGCCAAGAAGGACUAUGUUUCAUGAAUUUGUAAUUUAUGGAAUUAAUUUUCCCAUCUUGGUGUUUUGUUAUAUUUAUGUAGUUGUCUUUGUUGGGAGUAUUCCAGCUUAGCUUAAGAGCUUUAAAAAUCUUUGGUCCCAUUUCCAAUUGGUUUUGGAUUAGAUGUUCACAUCUUACAUGCUUCUAUAUAUCACAAUAACAUGUUUAGUGCGAAAGACGCCCACAUAAGGGAUCGUGUUGAGACCAGCUCUGAACAUCCAUUGUUAACCUCGGGUUUCUCUGCGAGUCUCACGAAUACUUUACCUUAAUUAUAAACAGCACCAGUAAUCAUGUAUUGCUGGUAAUUAAUGAACUAAGCUUGGAUUUAAGAUUUCAUGUAGAUACAGAGGCCAAAUGCUCCCUAAGAAAUCUCACCCGAAAAGAAAAGACUUAUGUUGGGGAAGAGGCACAAAGUAAUUUCCAAAGUGUGUGUGAUUUGAUGAGACAAGCCUGCCAAAACAUAAAUCAGAAACAAUAUAUAUCUGGAGGAGCAUGCAUUGCGGGAGAUGACCGAAACUAAUUGACUCCAUAUAUAAUUAACUGUAUCAUUUAUCAUCUUCUUAAAUAUGUGAGUCACCCAAUAAUGAAAUAUACAGGUCCUACUAAUUAACUAUGAUUAAUUAAAUGUCAUCUUCUUAUUCAACAAUAUGCAACACUACAUGCAUGAAGUACCCAUAUAUAUAUAUAUAUAUAGACUUUGUGACGAGUGCCAUAGUAAAAUUCCAAAAAUACAGCACGCCUAAAAGAAGUGCAUGCAUGCAAUGAUCCCUACUUAAUAUUAAUUUAAUAAAUUUCAUCAAUGAAUUGAAAUGGAAAGUUUAAAGUUGUUGGUUUCUCUUCCAAUAAUCUCUAAUAUCAUCUACCUCCUUCUACCAUGAACAACCAUCGCCUGUGUGUUGGGAAUAUUUGUUCCAUAUAAACUCUAAAGUUAAGGGAUUAAGUUAGGGUUUAUAAGGACUUGGGCUACUCCUUCCAUUGCCAAUUGGUUUUGGAGUGGAACCUCAACUUCCUUCAUGGUAUCAGAGUGAGAAUGUGAAGGUAAAAAGUCCCACAUUGGAAAAGUUGAGAAACCUAGCUAGGGCUUAUAAGGAGUGGGCUACUCCCCCUAUUGCCAAUUGGUUUUGGGGUGGAACCUCAACUUCCUUCAUGGUAUCAGAGCAGGUUGCCCAUGUUUGAAAGCCCAACAGCCACGCGUGCUCUCACGUCACCCAAAAUGUGUUGUCCACAUGUUAGGCUUGAAAAUUCGCCACAUAUAUGCAGGGGCGUGUGAGAAUGUGAAGAUAAAAAGUCCUACACGGAAAAAUUGAGAAACCUAGUAAGGGCUUAUAAGGAGUUGGGCUACUCCCUCAUAACCAAUUGGUUUUGGGAUGGAACCUCAAUUUCCUUCAUGGUAUCAGAGCAAGGCUUCACGUGUUAGGCCCAACGGCCAAAUGUGCUCCCACGUCACUCAAUAUGUGUUGUUCACGUGUUAGGCUUGAAAGUUCACCACACAUGCGGAGGCGUGUUGAGAGUAUUUGUCCCACAUUGAAAAGUUAAGGGACCAAGCCUAGGUUUAUAAGGAGUUGGGCUAUUUCCCCCCAUUGCCAAUUGGUUUUGGGGUGAAACCUCAACUUUCUUCACUGUGAUCCCUUAAACACUCUAGUUUGCAAUGGCCGGUCGUACCCACAAUUCACAUGCUCACCGCCAAUGGCGUUAUACAUAAGUGCCAAGCUCACACUCAAUGAUUUCAGCCAAGGCGGUAAAGACGGGAUCAGCCGGAGUGUGACAACCAAUUUCACGACAACAAUGAGCUAGUUUUCGCACUGUCUACGGGGUGGUACUAUGGUAGAUCAAGGCUUAGAAGGAUGAUAGUAAUUUCAGUGAGUAGUGCCUACUACUGGGAGGAGUGUGGCCGCGAAAGUGGUGGACGAGUGUGAUUCUGUAAAAGGAUGUGAUUUGGAGCAUGCGGGUCUCCCUCAGUGUGGGAACAACGUUGUUGAUGGCUUUGUAGGUGUGUGGAACACUUUCGGGCUAAACAAAGAUCUAGGGGUUGUUAACGUUAGUUGGAUCAUAGCCGAAUAAUAAAAGCGUUCGCAAUAUUGCAUAACACCAUUGUGACAAUGUUAAAUUGUGUACCAAAACUCCCAGCGGCGCAUUUGGUGGAGGAGGAGGUAACACUGCCCUUCCUCUCUUAUUCCCUAUUCUUCCUUCUUUCUUUCCUUCUUCUUCUUUUUGUUCUUUCUUCGGGUGAAGGUUUCUUUGGGUUGUUGCCCUAUUUUGAAGGAUAGAUGGGUGUUGAGGCUCAAAAAAUCCAGGGUUGGGCCCAAAAAAAUUUCCGGCCCAGUGCGACACCUUAUUAAGAAAAGACUCGAUUCAGAGCACGCGAAAUUCUUCAUGCAUGCUUGCACGAGCCACGAUCCAUGUGCCAUGCCAACUAAAUAUGCAAUCCGUCACGCUAAGAAUUGAAAUGAGCCUAUAACAGGCACUGGCACUACAAGCUCAUGCUACUUAUCCCGUCAAGCAUCAUAUCCCUUUUCAAAGACGAUAAAAUUCAGGCAAGCCAAUCGACAUGCUAUGCCAAAUGAAAAAUCAUUAUUUUUACACUUAGCCACGCUGCAAGCUUAAGUGGGCCCAAGCCAUGCAAAUGCUUGAGGCUUGCUGAGUGAUUUGUGGUAUGGAAGGUAACGAGCAUUCAUGAGACCCAUUGAUGAGCCGAGAAAUGGAAGUUUUGGACUGCUUGGGAGCCCCAAAACUCGAGCCCAUUUCUUGAGCCCAAAUAUGUGGGUAAGCAUAAAUGAGAGAAAAAGGGAGCCCACCACUUUAGAAAAUUGACCCAUCACCUUAAUAAAAAUAGGCUAUCACUUUGUGAAGUUGGCCCAUUCCCUAAUGGACAAACCCAUUACCUUAGGAAGGCCCAAAUGACUAAGAAAAAUAUAUGAAAGUCUUCAGCACAUGGCUGGAGACAAAACCGCGACAAAAAGCCAAGGAAUGACUCACAUAUGCAGGCUGCUGGGAGGCUCUAGCACGUGACCAAAUGCAAACCUCAAGACAAACCAUUCAAAAGACCAAAGGGUAUUAGCGCGCGCAGGUUGCUAGGAGAAAAGACAUAUGUAACGACCCGGUAUUAAAUAAAUAUUUAAUUAUUAAUUAAACAUCAUAAAAGACCAUUUUGUCCAUAGAAUAUUUUAUUAAGUUUAAAGUUGACUUUUUGACCAAAAAGAAGUUUAGGAAUUUCGACUGUACCGUUGCAUAGAGCACGACGAGAUGAGUUCAUAGACACGUGGUGGGCUCUAAUCGGAGUUGUAACGAGAGAGAUACGAUCAAAAUACCCUCAGUGGCAUAACCGUAAUUUUGGCAAAAAGGGUUUGAUAAAAUAUGAUUUUUUUUCCUCUCUCUUUCUCUCCCUCACAUGGUCUCUCUCUCUCUCCUUGACGGCAGCUCUCUCUCUCUUUUCGAAACUUAGGUCACUGGCCACGGCUGCGGACGGGACCGGUGCCAAAAUGACCGGCUCAACCCCGGCGUCAUGACCCGGCCGUUCCUCGACAUCGGCCGCCGCUCCAGUUGUCAGAAAAUGGGGUUUUUAGGCUGAUUUUCGCUCGAAACUUCGCUGGCUCUGAUCUCUCUCCUCCGACCGCCAUUGUUGGCGAUCAAGGUAUAGAAAUUCAUCAAUUCUGCAUAAUCUAGGUGAUGGUUGGGUAUGAUUGCAUCAAUUUUGAGCAUAGGUAGCUUGAUUCUCAAAUUGGGUUUCGGCCAGUUUUGGGAGCGCAAUUCCGGCCACUUCCGGGCACUUUUUGGGAUAGGCCCAAGAACAAAAGUGACUCCAAAUAGGUGUUUCACCUAGGGUAGGAGUCUUGAGUCGUGAUUUGGAGUUUUUCCGGCAAAAGGGUAUCGCUUUGGACACCCAAGCACUGCCGGGGCGUGUGGCAGCGCGUAGGUACUGUAGAAAAGGGGCAUUGUAUCCCAAUGUGACCUCCUGGUUCUCAUGAGAGCGUAGGUGUGGUCGGAUCUCAAUUUGAAUACCAUUUGAGUCUCGAUCGAAUUUCACCUAUUGUGCGUUAUCCAGGUUCGAUAGGUUUGAACUGUUGGAUAGUCUUGAAUUUAAAAUAUGUUGAUCUAGGUAUUCCUAGGUUCGUGUAGGAAUUCACGGAUCUUGAAUCGGAGCCCCGGAUGUUCCAAUUUAAUAACUUAAAGUUUGCGUUUUACAGUAACCGUCUGAUCGUGCGAUCGUGAGCAAUCCGACCGUCCGAUCCGGACCAAAAUUGUAGGAAGUGUGUCCUAGGCCUUGUGGAACCUAUAGAAACUUUCGGAUUAGAAUUUGGAGGUCGUGGGCCCCGUGGGCUAGUUUGACAAAGCUUGGGUAGUUUGACCCUUGGUUGACCGUGAGUCCUCCGAGGUAGUUUCACUUCUCUAGAAGGAUUAAAAUGACCUUACUGACCAGUCUUGACCGUUAUGUAAGUUAUGUUGAUUUUGUGGGAUUAGGAGAUUAAUUUACUGUCUUAAACUGGGGUAUAGUGAAUGUUAUAUUGUUGUUUGAAGCUUGUGCAAUAUUGGAAAAUGAUAUACGUAUAUAAAGACAUGUUGGGAAUAAUGAUUGAGAAAUUCGAUUAAAGUGAUACGAUUACAUUAUAUAAAAGUACAUACUUUCCAUAUAUGGCGUUGGAAUUUCCAGCGUAUGGGAAGAAUGUAUAAUUAUUUAGUCUCACACGUGGCGUUGGAUUUUCCGGCGUAUUAGAAGAUUAUGUGAUUAUUGAGUCUUGCGUAUGGGAAGAUUAUGUGAUUACUGAGUCUCACACGUGGAGUUGGAUUUUUCGGCGUGUGAGACACUUCCCAUACGUGACGUUGGAUUUUUCGGCGUGUAAGACACUUUCCAUACGUGGCGUUGGAUUUUUCAGCGUAUGGGAAGAUUAUGUGAUUAUUGAGUCUCACACGUGGCGUUGGAUUUUCCGGCGUUGGAUUUUCCGGCGUAUGGGAAAGAUUAAUGUAUAAAAAGAAUUAUGUUUGGUAUGUUGCGAUUGAAAUUAAAAGGGGGAAGAUAACUCUUGAAACAACUUACUUGUACUACUGAAACAUUGGUAUAUCAUUUGGUGCAUGAUUAUGGAGGUAAAGAACUACGUGUGGCUUAAUCCCUUAACAAGGGUACGUAGGUAGCUUGGGGUCCCACCCAGGUGCAGCCGCUGACUAAAAUUUACUUAUGUUGUUUGAUUGUGUUGGAUUGUUAAAUGACAGGACCCGACCCAAAUUCCACUUAGGAAUCCGAGCCGAGCCCUAUGCAUGUUCGACACUUGACAGGUGCCAGGCACAAAGACUAAUUUGCCCUUCUAAUCAAAACUUAGCUUCAUUUUAGGUUUGACUAAAAUGAACAUUCUCAAAUUUACACCUGUCAACAAGCACUUAAAAAUAUACACCAACAGUUAAAUACGUCCUAGGGCAACAUCAGAGCAACUAUACAGAGUAAGGUACAAGUGUAAUUUUAUUAUACGAAGCCCUACAUCAACAAGGGAUGAGGUGAAAUGUGGACUCUGCCAGGUAGUGGCUCACUGUGCACGCUUUCUGCCUAGGGGCACAAAACAUUGAAAAUAUGAGUGGACCAAAAAUAAAGUUUAGAAAAUAACAUAUUAACAUACUAACCCCACUGUAAAAACAGUUAUGCAAAACUAAAACAUUCUUUUCAUUAUAUUCGUAUUGAGGUCAAUGUGUUCAUAUAUUUAUGUACAUAUACCAAUCAUACUCAUGGUCAAUAAAAUCUCUUAAAAGCACUGAAAUCAAUUUAAAACUACCACCUAGGUGUACCUCUUUAUUUCCGUCAAUUCCUGAUAUCCGUCAAUUCCUCAUAUGCCGUCAAUUCCUGAUAUCCGUCAAUUCCUCGCAUCACCAUUGGUGACAUGUACUCGCAGGACUCGGUGACCAAAGGUCAACUCGAGCCACAAUACUGGCAAGAUUCAGGGGACCUUGGUCAGCCUAAUCCGCAUCUCACUAUGCACGAGUCCGGGUACCAAAGAACUCGUGGGCAACUGUCCAGCAUGCUGACUAAACCAAAGGCAACCAAUAAAAUCUAAAGGCAACAUAUUUGUAUCUAGGUACCUGAGAUGGCUUAAGAAAAUAUAAAACUCUGAAAGAUCUAAUAAAUAAAUGAAUUCCUGUUAAAUCGAGAACUCUGCUGCCAUUUAUCUGAUACUAAGAUAGAACUUUUUUUUCCAAUACCCUUAGAGGAUAUCCCACUUGGCAGCAUACAAAUCAAAAUAUUUAAAAGCACAUAACAAAUUAUAGAAACACUAAUCUUUGAAUAAAACUUAUCCAAGAUCAAAUAAUGGAAUAUAAUUGGAUAAAUCAUUUAUAAAACAAGAAGUCCACUCACUGCUGGUCCGUUGUAGCUGGACCUCUUGAAGGUUCCUCCUGCGGGUCAACUGGUGCCCGGGUGCCUGAUUAAACCGUCAAGUAUUUAAUUAAUAAAACUGCUCGGUAUAAGUAUUUAAAUAAAACCCUGACCCCCGACUCUUAGAAAUGCGUGCACUAACUUUAGAAUCAUUCCUAUACCCACAAAAACUUUCCUUACAAUUGGAAUGGUUUAGAAGUGCCUCGAAACUCAAAAAGCGCUAAAGUCCCAAAAAGUCAACUCGGCACCCCGUGGUCUCAAUCUGAAUAUACCUAGGACACACGUCCUGAGAGUUUGAUCUCAAUCGGACGGUCGGAUUAACCAUGAUCGCACAAUUGAAGGGUUCUUAAAACUUUAACCUUAGGUUGGUGAUUUCGGAGUAUCCGGGACUCCGAUUCGCAAUUCUUUGAAUCCUAAAUGAUCCCGGAAAAGUCCAGAUCAACAUAUCUGAAAAUGGUUACGAUCCAACAGCUCAAUUGUAUUGAACCUGGAAAUCGUAUAAUAUGCAAAAUCCGUUCGAGGCUCAAAUGGUAUCCGAAUUGAGAUCCGCGAAUUCCUACACGCUCAUGACAACACGAGGAUCACUCUAGGACUGAAUGUGGUCUCCACCAUCAUGUUUUGAACAAAAGUGGUUGGCAUCGCGUGGGUGGCUUGAUAAAUUCCGACGACUGGAAAACUUCAAAAUGUUGAGCUCAACUUCCUACUCUAGGUUCAAAACAUGAUUUGGAGCCACUUUUGUUCUUGGACCUACCCCAAAAAGUGGCCGGAAGUGGCCAGAAUUUUAAUAUCAAAACUGGCCGAACUUUGGAUUGUGAUUUGGUCUACCUAGGCUAGAAAUCGUUCCAAUCCUACCCAACCAUCAUCUAAGUGAUGAAAAUUAGGUAAGAAACCAUACCUUGAUCGUCCAAUUUGGUGGCCUGAUGACGGAGAUCGAAAGCUUGGAAGUUUUGUCAAAAACGACUGGGUUUUUCGAUUUUUCCGGCGGCAGGGCUGACGGCUGGCAGCGGAAGGUGGUCGGGGUUUGAAGGCGGGGUUUGGCCGGUCGUUUUGGCUCUGAUCUUGCGGCUUAGGGUGGUCAGUGGCGGAAGCUAUGGAGGUUUGGAGAUGCGGCUAAAGGGAGGAUGUCGGGGGGAAGAAGAGAGACUGAAGGAGAAGAGAGAGAAAAUGGGGUUUUAAAAAUCCUGACUUUGAAAAUUACCAUUUUGUCCCUAAGAGUAUUUUGACCGUAAUUUCUUCAUUAAAACUCCUAUUCGAGCCUACCACGUGUCUACGGACUCAUUUCGUCGUGCUUUAUGCAAUGGUGUAAGAGAAAUUUCCAAAUUCUUCUCCGAUAAAAAAAGUCAACUUUUCUUUGAUAAACUAUUCUAGGGGCAAAAUUGUCUUUUCUUCUUAAUAAUUUAAUGAUUAAAUAUUAUUUAAGGUUUGCGUUGUUACAUUAAAUAUCAUGUGGUGGCCUUGGGAAGUGGUUUGAUGUUAAUCUUGGUGGUAUGCAUAAAUUAGUGAGUUCAUUAAAUGCAUGAUUUAUUUUCACUAUGUGAUUUAAGAGUUGGGUAGGUGGUUUUGUUUUGGUUUAUGCGAAGGCUGGAGGCCGUUAUUUGAAUUGCAUGUUGUUACAUUGUACAUGCUGCCAGUUGUGGAUUUUAAAUAUGUUUUAUACAGGUUAAAUUUUUGGGGAAAGUUCAAAUUACAGGAGAGACUCUGUUGAAAUUUCGGCAGAAAGUCCCGGUCUUUAAUAAGUUGGCCCGGCAUCAGGGUGAUGUCGAGAAUUCCACAGGAUUCGUCUCGGGUUCUGAGGAAUUCAGGGCGGGUCCUGUCAACAUCCUUCAGACCAACGCUGCUAUCUAUUUCCUUCCCUUACUAGCUCUUGCCAUGAAAUAAGGGAGGAAAGAAGGAGAAGUGAUAACCAGAGAUGGGAGGUUACCACUGGAACGGCUGCGGGAAGACUUUUGAGCUCCCAAAAAUCUUGUCUCUGUGUGUUUGGACAGAUGAGGAUUUCACAAAUUAGGAUGAAUCAAAGGAAGGGAAGAGAAAUGAAAGGAAAAACUUGGAAAAAUUGGAGAGAACCUAUUAGGGUUUCUUGGGAAGAAGGAGCUUCCAGCGGCUAUAAAAGAGGGGUAUCCUCUACCAAUUAUCUCAACCACAUCCAGAGAGAGCAAGCUUCACCUCUCAUCCUUGGAACCCUUCAAUUUCUAGCCAUAUUCCUCCAUCUCUUCCCAUCUUCUCCUCUGGCAAGCUAUUCCAAAGCCUGACGAAUCCUACGUUAAGUUGCUAAAAAUUACCCAAAGCACCCAUUCUUCCAUCCUAAUCUCUGUCUCUCUCUGUCUCUCCUUAGCAAAUCCUCAUGAAACCCUUUGCUUUAACCUCUGUUUGUUGUAGAAAACCUGGUCCUUCUCUCUCUCAUGCUAAACUCAUGAAUACUUAGCUUCCAUGCCACAUAUUUCUCAAGCCAAACCAAGAAUUUAUCUGUAAGCAACUGUUGGUUUCAUUGGUGAAGAAGAUCAAGGUGUUUCUUAAGGCUCAGCUACCCUUUGGAAGCACUCUUGGGGUCUGAUUCUUGAACUCAGACACAUGAGGAAUUUUCACCUAUUUGCUCCUUAUAGCAGCCCAGGCCAAUUUAUAGCUGCCAGAACGAAAAAGCCCACAAUAGGCUGCAGUGGGUUGUAGUCCAAGGAGGUUUUUGAGGGAAAAAACAUCAAACCUUUAUAUUUUUCUUGAUUUAAAUUCGCUAGAACUAAAAACGUAAAAGACGACGGUAGACCACCAUCGUCUAAUGUGCUUCUAGACCGUGGUAUAAGUGACUGCCGUCUAUUGUCAUAUUUUAGACGAUGGUGAUUCACCAUCAUCACAAUGGUCAUUAGAUGAUGGUUUUUGGCAUUUUUUUGUCAUCUUAAUAGUCAUUAGACGACAAUUUCACAGUUUAGAAGAUGGUGAUUCACCAUCAUCUAUUUAUCAAUUAAGAUGACAUACGGUUUAUUUAAAGACAUAUUUUUUCGUCGUCUGGUGAUUCACAGUUCGUUAUUUUUUGUUGUCUUAAUGGUCAUUAGGUGGUGGUUUUAUUUCGUUAGCAUCGUGUCUAUCUCUAUAUUUUGUAAUGAUAUUUGUGAAUUUAUAUCUUCUUUCGGGUUAUUUUAUUUUGAAUUAAUGGACUUUUUCAAUUCUCAAAAUUUGUUUCAAAAUAUUUCAAUUAGAAAAUGUCAUCAAAAGUGUUCUCUUAUAACCAAAUGCUUCAAAAUACAAAAGAAUUCUACACAAGCAUCCUUUGAGCAUAAAUUUUUAGCCUAAAGUUAACUAAAAUACAAAAGAAUUAUUCCAAUGUCGAACUAAUUUUGCUAUGUAUAACUGAUUGGCGUAAAGUUAACCAAAGAGAAAAGAAACUGGAUAAUAUCUCCAAAAAUACAAGUCUUUGUAGUUCUAAAUUACCCACAAGUGUGCCCAUUCACCAAUUUCCUUUUGCCUAUAACUUUGAUAAGUUCUCCUCUCAAUGAAACAUAGUAAAUAAAUAAAGAAAAUUAGUCAAUAAAUAAAUAGGCAUUCUCCGCCUCGUAAUAGUGAUUUUUAGAUUUUGCCCCUGACGCAAAUAAGACAUACUACGGACAUGUUAUGGUUUUUAAAAACUGUCGUCCUUAAAAGCGGGUCAUUUUAAAAACAGGAUAUUCCUAACAUUUUACACCCUAAUAGAAGACAAUUUUAAGACAAACUGUCGUCAGGCAAAAUAAGACGACAGUAUUUAGGGAAUUCGUUGUCUAUUGAUCGUCGUCUAUUACAAUUAUUGUUCUAGUGAAUAUAGCCCAUUAUGUAUUAGCUUAUUAAAGUCCAAACAAAUCCAAUUAGUUGCAAGGCAGCAAUAAAAAUACACAUUAAAAUAGGUACACUUUCAAUUAUGUUGUUGAACAUAUUUUUAUUUUGAUAAUAUGUGUUUUUUGGUUACAUUUACUAUGUAUUUGUUUUAUGUUAAAGCUUAUCAAUGGGACUAUAAACUAGCCUAGUCUAUAUGAUUUAAUGUAUACUUUUUUUCUUUCUAGAAAGACUAUAGAAACUAUAAGUACAAAAACAAUCAUUAGAUUUUAAGCUAAUAACUUCAGCUAACCCACCCAUUGAAAAAUUUCUGAGUCCGCCCUUGUAUCAGCUAGCCCACUCGUUGAUAGGCAGAUGCCCAGUCUGGGGGUUCUUAUCCCUCUUGCCUUUGGAGUUUUUUCUGAAAUCUGGGCUUUAUGCCUCUCCACUUCUCAUCUUUGUCCUCCAAAGUCCCAACCUCAAUCUGUGUCUGUAACUACCCAUUAAGAACACCAUUUUUUGCGUAUUUCACAAAAGUUGAAAAGAGUUUUGACUCGGGUGCUUGCAUCACCUCCUUCUAUGUGUAGGUUUCUGUUGGUUGCUUUGGAUGUGGGCAUGUCUAUCUCAUUGGUUUCCUCUUAUGCGUGGUGCGAUUUUAGGUUUGUUCGUUGUGCAGUGUAGUGAAUUCCGAUUACGAAUUACUCAUGUACGUUUACUUCACAUAAAGGAAUAAAAAUACAAGUGGGCCCACAUAAAAUUAGGAAUUUAGAGGAAUUGGGCUCUCGGGUGGAAGUGAUAAGUCCAUAAAUUUACACAUUUAUGUACUCUUUAUACUUUAUUUUUGUAGGAGAAUUUGAUUUAAAAAUGACUUAUUAAUUUAUUUUCUCAAUUUUCAGCUUUUCAGAGCAAGUAAGUUGUUUUCAACGGAAAUACGAUUUUUGGUGGAGUUUUAGUACGAGACCAAUUGGAGAUAAAAGCUAAGACCUUGAAGAUGAUUGUAGAAUUUUUCUAGAAUUUUCGGAGCAGCCAAUGAGAGCAGACUUUGAAGUUAAGUCAGCAUAAGAUGCAAUCCUGUCAAAACUGUAAUGUUGUGGAAGAAUGACUAUUUGAAGACUUUCCUGGUUUUUCCUCAAGGCAUGCGAUAUAUGGCUGGAAAGAGAAGACAAAAAUCUACAAUUUACAUAUUUUUCCCAAAUUUUCUUGGAGAAUGAACAAUCCCAAACGUGCGUGCAAAUUAACUGAAGUGUUAUCCCAGUCAAAGUAGGAAGAUGAGUCAAUUACUUACCCAUUUUUGAAUUUAUGUUUCAAUUAGGUUUUUCUUUAUUCUUGGGCUGCUGUAAAAGCCCAGCUAGGGUAGGAAUAGAUGUGUGGUGUCUUAUUUAAGCAUGAGAGACAACUCCUUUGGGAGAGACGCAAAGACUAGAAGAAAUUGGAGAUACCGAAAGAGUACCGGAAUUGGCUAAGUUUUAUUGUUCUUCCUUACGUUUUUGCUUAUGUCAAAUUCUAUGAUUAUGUGUAACUAAUUUUCUUUUGCUACGGCAUGAUGUAGCCCUAGUAUGAUAAUCUAGUUUUCUUAUUUUACCUAUCUAUUGAUUGCCGUUUGAUGUUGGAUUCUUAAUCACUGUACUUAAUAACUUGGUUGAUUAUCUUGAUGCUUGAUCACCAUCUAGACUUCUAAUUGAGUUAAUUGGAUGCAAAUUAGAGUAAAUACCAUACUUAAUUUGAGGCUUGCUUUUUGUGAUUAGGAUUUGUAAUUCGUUUAGGGUACAUACCAUACUCCUAGGGUUUACAUGCUUGUUCGAGGUUUUCAUUGAUCUUAAUGAGUUUCUAUGUGUUGAUAUUUGACCUAAAUACCAUAGGAGAAUUGCAUGUAGGAACAUACGAGUUAGCCUAAAUAGCAUAAGUAAUUCAUGAAAAAGGAAAACUAAGCAACGACAUCAAAUGAUUAGUAAAUAGGUAGGUGAAUAGGAGGCUAGAUCGGAUUACUAGUGGUGAAUUCAUUGUCCUAGUGCUUUUAUCAAUUUGAAUUUCUUAUCCUUGUGUUUCGUGACUUUCUACUUAUUUUGUCUUUUAAUUUCGUUGUUAAUUAAAUCAUUCUUUCAAAAACCCCUUUCGUGUUUAUGCGAGUAUGCUAUGUGUUUAAUUUCUUGUUUAUAUAAUUAGAGUAGUUAAACUAUUUUGUGAAGUAAAUUAGGUUAGACUAAUUGGUAGUUGAACUCAAUCCUCGUGGGAAUGACCUCGUAUUUGCCAUACUAUAUUAUGAUUGACCUUGUGCACUUGCAAGUAUAAUUUGUGUUUAGACUAAUCUUUAUAAUCUCCAUUUUUCAGGUUGUUUAAAAUUCACAACAGGGAGGUGAUCUUCUAACUCCUUAAAGAAUUAUCCCAUAAGUAAUUCAUCUUUUUCACCUAUUAUAUCCUCACACAAAAUUUGCAUAUAAAAGAAUUUAUUUAGAAUAAAGACAUUUUUGUAAUCAAACGAGUUUCAAUUCCAAUUCAAGGAGACUAAAGGUUUAUUUGGAAGUGAUUCUAGAUAGGCCAGAAACACUUCUGGGGAGAAGCAUCUCCCAUGUGCUUCUCCAUAUAAUCACUUUUAGUAAUUUUAAGUGAUUUUGGGGAGAAGCACCUCCCAUGUGCUUCCCCAUAAAAUAACUUAAAAUAACUUAAAAUGAUUAUAUGGAGAAGUGAUUCUCCGUAGAAGUGAUUAUUGGCCUAUCCAGAAUCACUCCCAAACGAGCCCUUAGUAAACAACUUAUAAGGAGUCAAUAUCAUUCCUACCCUGAUUCCAGAUAGUUUAAUAAACAACUUCAAUGAGAAUCCGGACUUUAACUCUUCCUCAAUAAAAUUCCUCCUCACCAAUCGAUUACGGAUUAGUAAACAUGCAAAAGACAUGGACCCACUCAAUGCCGCGCCAAAAAAAAAAGUGAUUUACUUGAUAGUUAUAUAGUUUUUUUUCUUGUCAAAUGGUAAGGAGAUAGCAUUCAUAAAUUACGCCACGAGGGCAACAGUACACAUACAAUACCUAGAAGGACCACACAACUACCCAAAAAGGGGUUACAAUCAAUACGGAGAGAUCCAUUGGCAACAUCAAACUGUUAUACUAUACCUCCACUUAGAGCCAACAAGGCCAAAGAUAAUUCGACAUACACGCCUGUUUGGAAAAGCCAAGUAUAGAACCCACAAUGCAAACUACAAAAGUAAACUCUCAUGCAAAAAGACAACAAACACGCAUCAAACUUGAAAGAGUUGAUGCGCUUAUUGAACACCAAAUAGUUGUGAAGAUCCAUAUUUUAAAAAGGAUAAAAGAAGAUAUUUAUCCUUUGGAUAAACUUGGGUGAUCUUAUUUUGUUAAGAUAUUUGUCAUUUGGAUAAACUUAGAUGAUCUUUAUCUAUACUUAAGAUAUUUAUCCUUUCGAUAAACUUGGAUGUUGUUAUCCUUUUAAAUAUUGAAAUUUUCCUUUGAGGACUGAAGUUUAUCCUAUCCUUAUAACCACCACAAAUAGGAGCAGAACCUUAUAGUUUCUAAACAUGAGAGAGAGAGAGAGCGAGCGAGAGAGAGAGAAUGUGUGUAUGCGUAUAUGUGUUGGUGGAUGAGUUGUCUACCAUUUCUUUUAAGAGUUCUCAUUAUUGAGGUGAGUAAUUUAUAUAAUGUGUUCUAAAACUUCUUAUUUUAUGAUAAAAUGAAAAACCAUGAAUUAUCAUGGAUUUCUUCUAUUUAUAAAGGCUUAUUUAUGGAUAUGCCCCAUGUGCUUUUAAAAUAGUCUCAUAUUACCACAUGUUCUAUGAAAUGUCUCAAUAUACCAUCUAUAUACUUUCAAUAAGUGUCUCACGUUAGCUAUUCCUUCAGAUCAGAGAGAAGUUCCUUUAGCUGAUGUUGUGGCGCCCACUUCUUUUGAAUCUCUUAACAAGGGAGAUGAAGGUUUGGUUAGGUUGAGAAAAGGGGGAAUUUGGGAGAAGAAGGUUAGGUUAAGGGAAUUUCAGAUUUGGGAGAAAAUGAUGGAUUUGGGACUCAAUAUGGUGAAGUCUUGCAAGGACCGGAGCUCGGUCUCACUGGUGUGCAAGGACUGGUACGACGCGGAGCGGUGGUCCCGCCGCAAGUAUUCUUCGGAAACUGCUACUCGGCGUCGCCGGAUAUAGUGACCCGGCGGUUUCCUGAGCAUCCGGAGCGUGACCCUGAAGAGGUAGACCCCGUUCUCGGACUUCAUCUGGUUCCUCCGGAACUGGGAGCAGCGAUGUACAGGCUUGGCUGGGAGUGUUUGCCAGCGAAUACGCGCUUCUGAGAACUGAGCUGAAGAGGAUGACGUGACUGAUAUAGCUUGAUUCUGGCUGUGCGUUUCUGGGGUCAAAUCUCUCUCCGUUCAGAAUUGGAAGGGUUCAGCNNNNNNNNNNNNNNNNNNNNNNNNNNNNNNNNNNNNNNNNNNNNNNNNNNNNNNNNNNNNNNNNNNNNNNNNNNNNNNNNNNNNNNNNNNNNNNNNNNNNUACGACAACAAGUGGAGGUGCAACACCUAACCAGCAGGCACGGGAGGUUCGAACGUUCUAACAUUAGAGGGGAGCACCCAAUUUGAUCCUACUCAAUAUAAUUCAACAUCUUCUCCCAAAUUUGAACCUCUCACAUUGCCAAAUAUGAUCCUCUCGAAUCCCCAAAUUGAAAAUGGGAUCCCCCCCCUUCUUCUCCCAAAUUCCCCAUUUUCUCAACCUGACUAACCAUUCAUCUCCAUUGUUAAGAGAUUGAAAAGAAGUGGGGGUCACAUCAACGAACGGAACUUCUAUCAAAUCUGACGGAAUAGCUAACGUGAGACACUUAUUGAAAGCAUAGAUGGUAUAUUGAGACAUUUCAAAGAACAGGUAGUAAUUUGAGACUAUUUUGAAAGCACAUGUAUCCAUAAAUAAGCCAUUUAUAAAUAUCUUUUUAUUUCAAGUCAAAUAUGUCUAAUUUGGUGCAGUGUUUCACACUAUUAUUAUUUGGAAUAUUAGUAAUGUACGCACUAUUUAUAGAACAUGAGAACUUCAGUGAUGGGGUAUCCAAGGGGUAGAUGUACCACAUGGGGAUAUAGGGUGGUGAGGCCAAUAGGGGUCACAUGAUCGGUUACAUGCUAUGAAGGAUAACCGAGUUAUGAAGUAAUGAUGUGAUAUGAUCUGGAUUGGUCUUUGUUUUCAUGAUAUUUUUUAUAGUGUGUAAACGACAUUUCUUGACUAGCACAUUACAUAAUUUACUCACUGAGUGGUCUUUGCUAAUCCCUCACCCUGUUUAUUUUUAGAUAGAUUAUAUAGUGGAAAAGAUAAGGACCAAACCACUUGAGGUUGAAAUUGAUGAGAAUAGUAGAAAUUUAUUUAUUGUUGGUACAAUUGAAAGAUUUGGAGCUGUUUUUAAUAGAGAAGUUUAUUUUAACCAAUUUUUUGGCCCUUUUAUUUUAACGUUUUAUUAUCACACAUCGGCCACAUGAUUUCUUCCCUAACCCAGGUCGUGGGCAUGACAGAGCUCACAUCCAUCGCAGCCUCCUUCGCUACUGUAGUCACUGCCACCGCAGUGGGGAAAUGGUAAAUAUAACCGAAACUACUGCAACCCAAGAACCUACAACAACAAACAAAAAGCCCCAGAAAUUCGGAGAGAGAGAAAGGAAGGAAGAGGAGAAAGAAGGGGGGACGGGUAAAGAGAGGAGGGGCAGAGACUAACUCCCCCUUGUUGCGGCCCUGAAGGGAGGCUAUCGUGUUUGGGUUUGAGAGCGUUUCAGAGGCUACUUGAUAGCUAUAUGGAUGGAUGGAGGGGCCAAUUGUGUAGCGGUUUGUAACUUUAUGGUUAUUUUUAUCAAUUUUUAGAAAACUCCGAUCAAAACUUCUACAUACUCCAAGAUAGGGCAUGAAAACUACUUCUUAUAUAUUGCAUAUAACACAUCUCCACUCAUUAUUCAGAGUUCAUCAUUAGUUUUGGAAAUUCUUAUACCAUUAUCUAGUGUCCAUUAACACACAUCUUAUUCAUAUUUAUAUAACUAGCUUCAAUAUAUUAAUUACUUUCCAAAUUUGGCUUUGUAGUCCCUCCAGAGCUGAUCAACUGUCCUCCCAGUGAUGUCUUUAAAGAAGUUGACACUGUAACCAAAUCUCAUCUUCCUGUUCAGAUUUGCUACAAACUCAGUUUUAACAUUCUCGCAGUAGUCUAGGAACCGUGCAGUUACAUCAUAACCUUGGUCCCAACGAUUAUCCUCACCAUUUUUCACCCAAUGAUCAGGCGUAUAGCCUGCUUUCAACCUCACAAAGUCUGCAAUGCCCUCUAUUAACCCACUAGGAGCUCCGCCAUUGCCAUUCCACUGCCAUACAUGCGUCAUCUCAUGGAAAAUUAAUUACCCCGUUGAACUCGUAUACGAGAUUUCCCAUGCCUGGCUUUAUGCUUUGGAUAGAAGGUGUCAGAUAUCGAUGUUAAUGAAAAUAUAGCAGGUCCUAAUUGUGAGAAUAGCAAUAUUGAACAGAGUUUAACAGAGAAAAGCAGAGAUCUUAGAAGAAGAAUUGAUGUAUUCAUACUUGAUUAUUCAACACAGUACAGUAAUCGGUUUUAUACUAGCUUGACAAAGCUUUGUGUACACGUUUCUAACCUCUUAGCCUUUCUAACUACUUUAACAGAACUCUAAAACUGCCUAACAGUCUUAACAAUAUUUCAACAACUCUCUUCUUCAAUCUUCUGACAUGUGGCAGAAUUAGGACCUUUGAUAUCUUUACAUGCCCCCUCAAUCUCAUGCUUGGAGGAGCCAAGCAUGAGAUUGGAACAAUGAUGCUGGAAUAAAGGGAUAGACAGCCCCUUAGUGAGAAUGUCAGCAAAUUGUUCUGCAGAAGAGACAUGUUGCACAAGUAAAUCACCCCGAAUGACUCGUUCUCGAACAAAAUGAUAAUCAAUCUGUAGAUGUUUCAUUCGGGAAUGAAACACUGGGUUGGAAGAGAGAGCAAUAGCAGAGAUAUUGUCACAAUGAAUUAAAGGAGGAACAUGUAAUGGAACGUGCAGAUCACAGAACAACUGUCUGAUCCAUGCAAGUUCAGCAGCCGUAAUCGCCAAAGCCCUAUACUCUGCCUCAGUGGACGAACGAGAGACAGUAUGUUGCUUCUUAGAAGCCCAAGAAAUAGGACUAGAGCCUAAGUAAACAAUAAAUCCCGAAACAGAUCUGCGGUCAUUAGGAUCCCCAGCCCAGUCAGCAUCACUAUAAGCGUGCAGAUGAAGAAGACCAGGCUUAAACCAAAUGCCAAAAUCAAUGGUUCCUUUCAAAUACCUCAGGAUUCUCUUAACUGCCACAACAUGAGAUUCCAUAGGAUUAUGCAUAAAUUGACAAGCUUGAUUCACUGAGAAGGCAAUAUCUGGCCUUGUGAAAGUGAGGUACUGCAAAGCACCAACAAUGCUUCUAUACUGCUCUGGAUGAGAAUAAGGUUUGCCAUCAUCUUUCAAGAGUCUGUGAUAAGGAAGACAAGGAGUAGGACACGGUUUUGAAUCCUGCAAAUCAACCUUGCCAAGCAGUUCCUUGAUAUACUUAGUUUGAGACACAAACAAGCCAGCAGACUGAUAUGAAAUUUGGAGCCCCAGAAAAUAAGUCAAUUGGCCUAAAUCCUUCAUAUCAAACUCCUGAGUUAAAGCACUAAUUACAGAUGCAAUAAGAGAUGAAUUACUGCCAGUAAGAAUGAUAUCAUCAACAUAGAGAAGCAAAACCACAGUACCAAGUGACGAAUGGUGAAGAAAGAGAGAUGGAUCCGCAGUUGAAGCUUGAAAACCCAAGCUUGGUAAGAAGCUAGUAAAUCUUUCAUUCCAGGCACGAGGAGCCUGUUUUAAACCAUACAAGGACUUCUUGAGUCUGCAAACAAAAUCAGAAGAAUAAAGCUUACUCUCAAAGCCUUGAGGUUGUGUCAUAUAAACCUCCUCUUGAAGAACACCAUGCAAGAACGCAUUUUUAACAUCAAGUUGCCGUAAGGACCACUGAAACUGAGCGGCCAGAGCCAGAACUAAUCGAACAGUGGUUGGUUUAACUACCGGACUGAAGGUUUCAUAAUAAUCAAUACCCUCCUCUUGACUAAAUCCCUUAGCAACCAAGCGAGCCUUAUGCCUAGCAAUAGAACCAUCUGCAUUCUUCUUGAUCCUAUAAACCCAUUUACAGCCAACAAGAUUCUUAUGAGCUGGGAGAGGAACCAAAUCCCAAGUACCUUGAGCAUGAAGAGCCUCAAUUUCCUCCCGCAUGGCAGAUUGCCAUUCCGGUGAUUGAGAAGCAGCCUUGAAAGAACUAGGCUCAAUUGUAGAGAAAUCAGUAGAAGUAGAAGCAGAAAAAGCCUUCCUCUUGGAGAUGCCAUUUUUAGACCGUGUUGUCAUAGGAUGCAGAUUUAUAGAUGGUAGAGGCAAGACAACACGAAGACUUUCAGGCUGAAAAUCAGGAUCCACAGGGAGAGGAGACUGUGUAGCUGAAUGUGUAGCAGAAGGGGAAGUAGUCAAAGGUUCAUUGGCUUCAAAGGUGGAAGGAGAAGGUGAGGCAAUGGAAAGAGAAGAGAGAGGUGAUAAGACAGUAUUAGUGAAUGAAAUGGAUGGAGGAGGAGAAGAGGAAGGGAGAUACGGAGAUGAAGAGAUACUUACUGGAUGGACAGAUGUGAAUGGAAACAUAGUUUCAUCAAAUAGGACAUGUCUAGUGACAAAUAGUCUAUUGGUAAGGAGAGAAAAACAAAUAUAGCCUUUAUAUUGUCCUGCAUAGCCUAGAAAGACACAAGUAGAAGUUUUUGGCUGAAGUUUGUUUGUAUUAUAAGGCUUGAGCAAAGGAAAGCAAGCACAGCCAAAUACCUUUAGAUGAGUAAUGGCUGGGGCAGAUCCAAACAAUAAGAAAUAAGGAGAUUUUAAAUGAAGAGUUUUACAAGGCAUCCUAUUGAUCAAGUAGACUGAAGUAGCACAAGCAUGAAACCAAAAUUUUGGUGGUAAAUGAGCAGUUUGCAAUAAAGUGAUAGCAGUCUCUAAGAUGUGUCGGUGUUUUCUCUCAGCUAAGCCAUUUUGUUCAGGUGUAUAGGGACAUGAUUUAUGAUGAAUGAUACCUCUAGCAAGAAGAAAAUGUUGAAAUUUAUGACUAAGAUACUCACCACCUCCAUCACUUUGAAAAACCUUAAGAGAAGCAGAGAACUGAGUGACUAAGUAAGCAUGAAAAUGAACAAAAAUAGAGUAAACUUCUGCUUUAUUGAUCAUUGGAAAGAGCCAAGUAAAUCGAGUACACUCAUCUACAAAGCUAACAUAAUAUUUGAACCCCUCAACAGAUAUUGUUGGAGAAGGACCCCACACAUCACUAUGAAUCACCUCUAAAGGUUUGACAGAUUUUACUGCUGGAUAAUGAAAAGGAAGUUUAGCUAGUUUGCCUUCUAAACAAUGAUGACAGAUAGAUUGGACUUUGUCUGAAGAAAAAGGAACCUGUGUUUGAUGUAAAAGAGCAGUAGUAAUGAUAUUGGAGGGAUGACCAAAUCGCUUGUGCCACAGACUAGUGUUUACUGGAUGUCCAAGAAAGCAGAAAUGUUGUUUGAGGAGAGAAGCAGCUGGAGUAGGAUGAGGCUGUGAAGGAAAGAAAGGAAUUGAAUAUAGGCCAGCUCUACACAGCCCCUUGAGAAGAACACUCCCCGUGAGUUUGUCCUGAAUCCAAAAGCCAAAUGCAUCACAUAUAAAUCUGCAGUUAUUAUCUUUACAUAACCGAUGCACAGAAAGCAAAUGCUGAGAUAUCUUUGGCACAUGCAAAACUUUCGAUAAUUGGAAAGAACACUGAGGAGUAUUCAAAGAAGAAGAGCCAACACUAGAAAUACUCAAACCUGAACCCCCCGCAGUGGUGAUAGUCUCAUUUCCUAAGAAAGGGGUAGCAAGACUGAGUUGAGACAAAUCAGACGUCAUAUGGGCUGUUGCUCCAGUAUCAGCUACCCAAAAUUGCUCAGCUGAUGAGGAAGGAGAACAGUCGGCAUGCAUUGCAGUAAGAUUGGAUGAAGGAGGUUUGCCUUGAUAGGAAAAAUUGCCUCUGUGGUAACACUGAAUAGCGGUGUGGCCAUACUUCCAGCAAAUUUGGCAUUGAACAGAGGAACUAGGACUUGUGAAUUGCUGAUGUCGCUGAUAACAAUCAGCAGCAAGAUGACCUUUCUUGUUGCAUAUUUGACAAGUUGGAAUAUCAGUACCCGAACCAAGGAUGCCAGGGCCAGAAUUAGGUGGAGCUUGAUACGGUCUUGGACUAGAAGAAAACUGAUGCCGAGGUCUGCCUCUUCCUCGAUAAAAGGAACCUCUAUUAGGGCCAGAUUGGAAACCACCAUUAUGUGAAAAAGAGCCACCAUUAGAGCUAGAGUGGACACCUCCAUUGAGACCACCAUGAACACCACCAUUGUGGCUAGAUGAAAUAGAAGAUGGGACAGACGGGGAAGUGUCAGCAAGAACAAGAGAUGUUCCUUGGAAUGAUUGAUUGUUCGCCAUCAUUGCAGAGGCAAAAGGAGUGGCAGAGCAAGUAUGUUCAAGAAUGGCCUCUUCAGCAAGCAACUGAGAUCUAAAAUCUUUAAGAGAGAGCACAUUUUCCCUGCCUCGAACCAUACACCGAAAUGUAUUAUAUUCUGGGGGAAGACCAUUAAGAGCCAAGAUGACAAUAUCAUCAUCAUCAAAAGAAACCCCAGCAGCAGCAAGAUGAUCUCUAGCAUCCUUUAUCUUGUGCAAGUAUUGAGAGACUGGGUCAGCACCCUUCUUGAUAUUCUGAAGCUCACUUUUCAUCUGAAAAAUCCUAGCUUUGGUAACCAUAGAAAAUCUGUCCUUCAACUGAACCCACAUAUCAUGAGAACUAGUACACCCAAUGACAUAUGAGAUUGCAGCAGAAGAAAGGGUGGCAAUUAGCAAUUGCAUCAAGGCACGAUCAUGCAUCUUCCACACUGCAUAAGCAUCAGUUUCCACACCUUCAACAGCAGAAUCUUCAUCAAAACGAGGAGGACACAGCCGUGAACCAUCAACAAACCCCAAUAAGCCAUGACCUUCAAGAAGAAGCUGCAUCUGAAAAUUCCAAGUGAGAUAAUUUGCAUCAUCAAGCUUAACUGUCACAGAAGUAGAGACAGUGGGAAUUAAGGUAGUAAUCGGAGAUUGAACAAUUUGAAGUUGAGUAGCAGUCACCAUGAUGAGUAUUCAGGAAGAUAAUAGGUUUGAGAAGAAAAGAAAUGGGCAAUAGAACAAGCAGAAGUUUCUGUGAGGUAAAAGAACAAACAGGUGGUAGGCAGAGCAAAGACUACGAAAGGGAAUAGUGGGGUUGAAGAGGGAAAGAAGCUCGAUGAAUGAACAAAGAAGAAGAGAAGAGAGGAUAGAGACAGAAGAACAGAAAUUGCAGCAAAGAAAAGGAAUGCGGAAGCUCAGGAUCGUACUAUGGCGAUGAUACCAUGUGAGAAUAGCAAUAUUGAACAGAGUUUAACAGAGAAAAGCAGAGAUCUUAGAAGAAGAAUUGAUGUAUUCAUACUUGAUUAUUCAACACAGUACAGUAAUCGGUUUUAUACUAGCUUGACAAAGCUUUGUGUACACGUUUCUAACCUCUUAGCCUUUCUAACUACUUUAACAGAACUCUAAAACUGCCUAACAGUCUUAACAAUAUUUCAACAACUCUCUUCUUCAAUCUUCUGACAUGUGGCAGAAUUAGGACCUUUGAUAUCUUUACACUAAUAACUACGGUUUACCUAUUAAGGUUUAGGAGAAUGGUAAGAAUGUUAAAUAUAUAUCGAUAUUAGUGAAAAUAUAUGUGAUCUUAAAACAUAUAUAAUUAUAUAUAUAUUGAAGAAAAUAAAAACAUAUUAUCGAGAGAAAUUAUAUGAAAUUUAGUAUAUAUGGAGUAUACCAGGAGGUCUUAAGCACUAAUCAUUCAUUUCUGUCCAUUCCACCAUGCCAUCUUACGAUCUGAACUGCUCAUUUUGUAGGUCAUCAUUCAAGGAUUAUCUUUGGAAAACAUCAGCAUAGUCAGACAUCGCAUAUAAGAAUGAACGGUCGGAUCAUAAGAUGACAUGAUUGAGUGGUCCCAAAUAAGUGGUUAGUGUCGUAUUAACUUACUAACCGGUUAGAUUUUGAGCAUGCAUGUAUAUAUCUAUGCUCGUCAAUAAGAGAAAUAGCAAAGAAUUUCAUUUACAGAGGAUGUCACGUCAGAAAUUUUGUGGCAUACCUGGUUGUAUUGAGCACGAAAAUGGAUCUCGUUAUUGCUUGUAUAUGCAACACCACCUAUGUUUUCUACGAUCAAGGUUACGAGCUGCACAUUCUUUCUCUCUGAAGGAGAUAAGGUUUGCUUAAAGAGGUUCCAAAUGAAGUUUGUAGCGGUACUCAUUCUAUCCACAGGGAUGAUACCUCCAAGCUCAUUUUUGAAGUGCCUCCAGGGUUGUUCACAGCUGGGUUUUUGACGAUGUAGUUGACAGCAUGUGUUCCAUGCUGAGCAGCUAGGGCUGAGAGAGAGAUGAGGAAGAAAGAAAGGGAAAAGCGAGCCAUGUUGCUUGUGACUCAAAAAGUGUUUGAUCUAUGUGGCUUAUAUAGAGUUCAUCUGUCACCCUUAAUCAAUUCGCGUUGAUGUUCUUUCUGAUUGUAAAUAAGGAGAUGAAGUGGGGCUCACAUAAUUUAGAUCUUUGUGAUAACCAGUCAAAUAUGAAUAGAGGAAACGAAGAAGAAAACUAAAAAAGGUUCUGGAUUUCUUUUUAUUGAUUCUCUCUAUUGAUCCCAUACAAUAUUAGCUUACUCAAUAUUUAUAGAGUUUUGGGUUUUGCAGAAUACAUGAGCUGUCAAAGACUUAAGCUUUAAGCUAAUUAACAAACUCACUUAACUAACUGACAGCUGGCACUCCAGCUUUAGACUACUUGGCUAAACUUAAUAUAACUCUAACAUUCCCCCUCAAGCUAAGCUGGUGGGCCCAGCUUUAGAUUGGAGCAGUGUUGCAAAAAGACUGGACUGUGAAGCCCCUUGGUGAGCACAUCAGCCACCUGUUCUUGUGUAGGCACAUAUUGAACAGAAAUGUCCCCACGCUGUACCCUUUCACGAACAAAAUGAAAAUUGAUGUCUAAAUGUUUGAUCCUGGAAUGAAAAACAGGAUUUGAACUUAAGGCAAGAGCAGACAAAUUAUCACAAUGCAAGAUAGGAGGGGCAGCAAGAAACAAAUGCAUAUCCUUAAGAAUCUGUCGUAUCCACGAAACCUCAGAGGCAGAAUGAGCCAAAGCCUUAUACUCGGCUUCUGUAGAACUUCUUGAAACAGAAGUUUGCUUUUUAGAUUGCCAUGAGAUGGGAUUGUUCCCAAGAUAAACCACAUAACCAGUGGUAGAGUGCAUGGUAUUAGGAUCUCCUGCCCAAUCCGAAUCACUAUAAACCAGCAGUUGCAUAUCACUUGAAGUGUAAGUGAUACCAUAAUGAGAGGUACCCUUGAGAUAUCAGAGAAUACCUUUGACUACACCAAAAUGAAUAUCCGUAGGAGCUGUCAUAAACUGGCAUACAGAAUUGACAGCAUAGGCCAUAUCAGGCCUAGUGAAAGUGAGAUACUGAAGAGCCCCCACAAGACUUCGAUAAGUGGUAGGAUCUUGGAGAGAAACACCUUCAUCUUUAAGAAACUGCUGAUGAGGUUUGGCUGGAGUUGAACAUGGUUUACACUCAACCAUGGCUGCCUUCUUGAGGAGAUCUCGAAGAUAAUUAGCCUGGUUGACAAAAAUAUCACCAUUCGAAAAAUAUGAAAUCUCCAAUUCAAGAAAAAAGUAAGUUUGCCCAUGUCUUUCAUAUCAAAAGCUUCACCCAGAUCUGUAAUAACAGUUUGAACUAAUGUAGAGGAAGAACCAGUGACGAUAAUGUCAUCCACAUAAAGAAGAAGAAGAACUAUGUCAGUGCCUGUAUGCUUAACAAAUAGACUUGGAUAAGAAUGAGAUAGAGUGAAACCCAAAGUAGGAAGAUAACUGGUGAACUUAGCAUUCCAAGCUCGAGGAGCUUGUUUAAGACCAUACAAGGACUUGAGUAACUUGCAGACAUGAGAAGGAUGUAUAGCAUCUUCAAAGCCCUGAGGCUGCUUCAUAUAUACUUCUUCUUGAAGAUCACCGUGUAAAAAAGCAUUUUUGACGUCUAAUUGACGUAACUCCCAAUGAUUUGCUGCAGCAAGAGCUAACACUAAUCUGACUGUGGUAUGGCGAACCACAGGACUGAAAGUCUCAUUGUAAUCCAACCCUUGUUCCUGACUAGAACCCUGAGCAACCAACCGUGCUUUAUAUCUAGACACAGACCCAUCUAGAUUUUUCUUGACUUUGUAAAUCCACUUACUACCAACAAUAUUUCUGUUUGGUGGAGGAGGCACUAAAACCCAAGUGCCUUGAACUGUAAGAGCAUCAAAUUCCUCUUGCAUAGCUUGCUGCCAAUGAGGUUGAGAAGCAGCUAAUCUAAAAUGAGAAGGUUCAUUAGUAUCUGUAAUAUGACCAAUACAAGUAACACCAGAGAAGGAGUGAUCAACGGACUGUGUGUAAUGAGCAACAUUAGAGUAAUGUUUUCUGGAUAUUGUACCAUCCUUGAGUCUAGUUGUCAUAGGAUGAACACUCAACCAAACCUGACUGAGAGGUCACAUAAGUAGAGGGAGAAGCUUGCUGUAGAUGACUGAUAUCAGUAGAAGAAGAAGAGCUCAUAGGGAGUAUCACUUGUAAUUGUGCAUAUGUAAGGACAUGCAACAUAGUGGAAGGGCAAAGAGGAGUAGCAUAUGAAGUAGAAUUCUGCAGAGAUGUAUGUAAGGAUGGUGGUAUAGAUGAUUGAAGUGGGAUAGUAUCAGAAUCUGUGGUUGGGUAGGGGCUGUAGGGAAAACUACUAGAAGAAGCAAGGGAGAACUAGGCAUUGGAGAAGAACGUGAGGUAUGAGUUGAGUGCAUCAGCUUAAAAGGAAACACAGUCUCAUCAUGAACAACAAGCCUAGACAAAAAUAAUCUCCAUGAAUCUCUGUUAUAGCAUAUAACUCCCUUAUAACCAUUAGCAUAUCCAAGAAAGAUGCAUUGACAAGUUCUAGGCUGCAACUUGUUAUCAUUAUAAGGUCUAAGAUAUGGAAACACAGCAGACCCAAAAACCCAUAGGGAUUGUAACUCAAGUGGUGUCUGAAACAAUUUUAGAUAAGGUGAACAAAAUCCCAAAGUCCUAGAAGGCAUUCGAUUGAUCAAAAAACUAGCAUGCAGACAGGCAUGUGACCAAAACUUAAGAUGUAAAGCUACUGCAGUCAUCAAAGUAAUAGCAGUCUUAAUUAUAUGCCUAUUUUUCCAGAGUGUAAGGACAAGACACCUGAUGCAAUAUCCCUUUAGAUGUCAAAAACUAUUUAAACAAAUGACUCUGAUAUUCUCCUCCCCCAUUAGUUUGCAAUAUCUUAAUAGAAGCAGAAAAUUAGGUAGAAAUGAAGGCAUGAAACUUGACAAAAGUAGAGCGAACGUCUGAUUUAUUGAUAAGAGGAAACAUCCAGAUAAAUAUGGUACAGUCAUUAACAAAUAGUACAAAAUAUCUAUAACUCUCAAUGGAUACAACUGGAGAUGGACCCCAAAUAUCACUAUGAAAUUUAUGAAAAUGAUGGACUACUCUGUUAGAACUUACAGGAAAAGGAAGCCUAGACAUUUUACCACCUAAGUAAGCUGAGCAAAUAGAUGAAGAAUCGGGAGAACAUACUAUUUGAGAAGAGUGCAACAUCUUCACAAGUACUUCAUUAGUAGGGUGGCCUAAGCGUUGAUGCCACGUGAUGUGGUUUAUUUUCUGACCAAGAAAAGCUGUGGCUGAAGAAACAGAGGUGAAUGGUAGAGAUUUAGGAAAAUGAUAAAGGCAUUUGCUACUCCUUCCUUUGAGAAGAACUGCCCUUGUUGCCUUGUCCUGCACACAAUAACCAACAUCAUCAAAAGUAAUCAUGCAGUUAUUUUCAUGACAGAGCUUGUAGACAGAAAGCAAAUCAGCUGAUGGAUGUGGAACAUGCAGAACGUUAGGUAAUAAUAAGGACUGAGAAGAAGUGAUAGGAAGAUUAGCAUGACCAAUAUGUUAAACAUGCAAACCUUCCCCAUUGCCAACAAUUAUCUUGUCAUCUUGAUCAUAUGAAGUAGCAGUCUCAAGCACAGAUAAAUUUGGUGUCAUAUGAUGAGUUGCUCCUGUGUCAGCAAUCCAAUUGUCUUGAGACUCAAACCCUUGCGCGUGAGCAGUCAUAGCCUGGAGAAAAGUUGGUGGUGCUUGUCCUUGAAAAGCAAAACUAGCUCGACGGUAGCAAUCAAGAGCACCGUGGCCUUUUUUACCACAAAUCUAACACUGAAUAACAUGAGAAGAGUUUGAAUCAGCAGUAUUGCGAUAAAAACAGUUGCCAGCAGUGUGACCCUUCUUAUUACAGAUUUGACAUUCUGGGAUAACAUGAGGCUUAGAACUAGAAGAUGGACCCCAUUGUUGCUUGAAACCAGAAGAGUUAGAACCAUGCUUGUCGGAAUAAAAAUGAGAACCAUGAUAUCCAGGUGACUUGAAUCUGUCAAACUGAGGAGAAGAUCGAAACUGGGAACCAUUGUAACCAUUAUAAGGUCUUGAGCUGGAACCCUGAGUUGAGCUGGAACCUAGAGAAAAAUGUUUUGCACCACCAGAAUUAUAACCACCAGAAGUAGGCUGAGAAGAAGCACGCGUAGCCAUCAUGGCUUUCAUAAAUGAGAAAGAGCAUGUAUACGAAUUUCAGCUUGUCUCUCUGCAUUAAGCAACUGAGCUCGAAGAUCUUUGAGACCAAUGGUUGAAUCACGAGCAAGCAACACAGUGUGAAUCAUGUCAUAGUCUUGAGGAAGACCGUUAAGAGCAGUGAUAACCACAUCAUCAUCAGUAAUACGUUCACCAACCACAACUAACUGGUCACGAGCUGUAUUAAUCCGAAGCAAAUACUUUUCAAUAAAAUCAGCACCUUUGUGCAUAGUAUGAAACUCAGUUUUAAGAUGAUUAACACGUGCCCUAGACACUGUGGCAUAUCUAUCUUGCAAAUGAGUCCAAGCCUCAACAGAGGUCUUACUACCAACGACAUACUCAAUCACAUCAUCAGAUAAGGUAGCAAUUAAGAGACUCAAGAGAGCCUUAUCAGUCUAAGUCCAAUUCUUAUAAGCAUUAGUGACCUCAGUAGUGACAUCAAGCUCAGUAUCUAUGACAAACUUCGGUGGACACACUGAGGAGCCAUCAAAGUGGUCAAAAAGAUCAUAACCUUGCAAAACUGAGUGAAAUUGAAAGGACCACUUGACAAAAUUAUCAUCAUUCAAACGAAUGGUAAGCAUCCCCAGCAAACCCUUGAUUUUGGGUGAAAUCACUGUCAUGACUAGAGUCAAAGAAUUACACACAGAAAACACAAUGUGCAAAAGCAAACACAAUCGAUGCAAGAAAUCACUACAAGGCUUCGUGCCUGAACAAGAAUACUUCACACAAGGCUUCGUGCCAACAAAUCAGAGAAAUUCCAGAGAAAGAAGGCUUCGUGCCAUGAAAUCAACAAAAUUAAUCUCAGUACGGCUUCGUGCCAGAUAUCAAUCACCAAGAAUCAAGAGAAAUUGAAGAAUAAGCAACAAAUUCCAUAUCAGUUUCACCAAAUCAAAUUAUGAAAAAUCACUUCAAGGAGACACAAUCACCAUUCUUGAAGAUAAACAGUGAACCAACAUUUGAGAGAAAGAAUCAGAGACCUGAGAACGGCGAGCGAAGGGAGCAACAAACCACUUCAAAAGGCACAGCGAUCGACCGAGGCUCUUGAUAUCAUGAUAACCAGUCAGGUAUGAAUAGAGGAAACGAAGAAGAAAACUAAAUAAGGUUCUGGAUUUCUUUUUAUUGAUUCUCUCUUUUGAUCCCAUACAAUAUUAGCUGACUCAAUAUUUA
Molecule: long non-coding RNA, 50413 nt
Filed under: Prunus persica (peach)
Lineage: Eukaryota; Viridiplantae; Streptophyta; Magnoliopsida; Rosales; Rosaceae
Description: long non-coding RNA (PPER_LNC005739)
Source: RNAcentral